UUUUUUUUUUUUUUUUCUCUUCUCUCUUCCAUGUUUUAUUCUAUGAGGAAAAAAAUAAAGUAGAAGAAACUUAAAACAAAGCAAAGCAAAAGCAAAGGAGAUUCUCCUCGUGACAAGUGUCACUGAUAUUCCCUUAUUUCGUCCCUCUGAAUAUCCCUUUUGUCUGGUGUCAAUAUCUAUAUAAUAUAUUUUUAUUUAUAUACCCCCCCCGGAAUAUUCCCCGCCCUUUUUCUUCCUUUUAUUUUUCUUAUUUCCCUAAAACCAUAUUAACAAUACUCGACAAUAGACCAUGGGGGCUCUCUCUAUAAACCUAUAUACAUUAGAAAAAGAUGGACAUUAAUAAUAUUACAUGUUUUUCAAUUAAAAAAUGUACAUUUUAAAUUAAUAGUAACAAGUCACAGUAGGAAGAAAAAGAGAAAAGUGUGAGCCUAGCAAACUUGCAAUUUAUACAUAGCACUACUUUUCAUUUUUUACACCAAUCCUGUAAUUAUAAACUACAUAUCAAUUGUUAAUUUUUUUAAAAUUGAAACGUAAGUAAAUACAAAACAUAUAUUAAAUGCAUAACGUGAAAUUUAGCCUUUAAAGUUCUUUUUAAUUUGAUUUUUAUUUUUAAGCUAAAUAUAGUCCUUAAUUUUAGAGAGAAAAAAAAGAGUAAUAUUUGACCAUCAACAUUUUAAAAAAAGUUGAAUUGUUGUUUUCUUUGACAUAAAUAUGGACUAAAACGUUAAAUUUUCAAACAUGGCAACUCGUGUCGCAAUCCACAAGCGCUUCAUGAUAAUUUUUUUGAAUUUUAAUGAGCUUCUUAUAUAUUUUUCUUGAAUUUUUCAUUUAUAUUUUUUUGAAUUUUAAAUUAUUUGUUAACAUGACAUAUAAGAUAAUAGUGACAUGUCAAAAUGAAAUAUAUGUGGAAUGUCACACAAUUUGCCAUGUUGAUAUCGUUAAAAAAGUAAUGUUUUAAUCAGUAUUUCCGUUAUUAACAAAAAAUAUAUAUAUAUAAAUGUUGAAUACCUAUAUUAAAUGCAUAAUAAUAAUCAUGUUUAAAUAUCAAAGACCGGAGGAACUCAUAUAGUUCAAAUACAUAGCUAAAUUCAUUUAGCUAAGAAAUAAGACAAUUGAAUUUGGAUUACGUGUGAUAUUUUAAUUUCCAAAUCUUACAAUCUAAUGUAGCAUAUGUAGGAUAAAUUAUUCGGCCUUUGCGGCUAUUCCAUAGCAAAUUUUUAUCCCUCACUCGUCAACCUAUAUAAUGAAAGUUCCUUCUUAUUUUGUUCAAAAAAUAAAAUACUUAUUCUAAUAAAAUAAUUUUAGAUAUUUUAUCAAUUGAGUUUUAAUUGGAAUGUCAUGAAUAUUGUUGUCAAUAUAGGAGGACGUGGGUUCGAGUACACUGAAGCACAUUAUCCUCUUAUUUAUAGGUUGGAAGGGAUUAUGAGUAGUUCCAGAUAUAUUAUGUCAAAAAGAACAGAUAUGAUCAGAAUCUAAUUGUUAACAAAUAAAAUGAUUUUAAGUAAUUAGAAUUAAUUCAAUUAGUAAAUUAGGGGGGACUUUUGGCAGUUAAUAUUAUAUGGAUCGAGUAAUAAAAAUUUUAAAGAUGAACAUGCAUUGGCUGUGAGAUUGCAGGCUCACAUGGUGUGGAUUUAAGUUUGUUUGUUGGAUUAAUUGAGCAAAAGCGUAUCUGCAAACAGCCUAUCCUCUACUUUUUAUCAUACAAUUUUUUUGUUUUUGAAAUACACUUUUUAUCAUACAAUUAGGACCACUAUUUAGAGUGAUAUAAAAAAAGAAAAAAGAAAAAAAAGGAGAGUCUAUGUUAUGGAGAGAAGGGGUUUCAAUUUAAAAGGCAAAGUUUCCAAUUUAUGCUCCAAUUGGGUAUUUGGUAAGAAAAAAAGAAUAGUAGGAUCCAAAGCUUAUAAAUAAUAAAUGAAAAGGGGUUAAAAAUUAAUUAAAGUAUUCCAUAAAAAAAGUAAUCUUGAUAAAGAAAAAGAUAAUUGUUUUUUUAGGAAAAAAAAAAUUCCAUUUCAAGAUUAAGGUAUGUUGCAAUUCAAGACCAAUUAUAGGGACAGUCCACAACAAAAUAUCGAAUCUAAAUCUUGUAAGUGAAAUUUAAGUUCACUAACUCGACCAAUCAAUUUAAUUAAUUAAUUAAUUAAUACAAAGUGAAAAGUCUAAUUUUAGAAUUUGACAUCGAUUCGUUCUUCCCUAUUUGAUCUAAAGUGACAAGCAUGUUCUUGGCUUCUUCUCUUUUUCAUUUGGAAAAUUUAAUAUUUUUUAAUAUAAUGAAAUGAUUUUGUUAAAAAAAUAAUUGAAAUAAUCCGUCAUUAUUUGAACUACUUUAACUAAUUAUAAUUUAACUCAUUUCUUAGAUACUGGAGAUGAGAUCAUUAGUCUUCUAACGGCCUAAUUAAUGCAAAUAAACAACUUAAUUAAAUAAUUAAUCUAAUGAUAAAGAAUACAAAUCACAAACCAAAUAAAUGUGAUCAGAUAUACAAAAGAAGAAGUCAAUUUUGUAUCAAUACUGUUGGAAUGUUCCGUUUUAGUAAUAAAUUGGGUCCGUAUCAAUUUGAUGUAAUACUUUAAACUAAUUUUAAGUAUUUUUCUCUUAUUUUUUAUAGUUUCGCUUAAAAAUAAAACAUAAUAAUCUAUUAAGUUAUUCAACAUAAUUAAUAAUUUUAAAAUUAAUAUUUUUACAUAUAUGAAAAAUAUUUAAGAAUAUUAAUAAAUCCAAAAAAAAAGAAAUAUAAAAUUCAAUUCCUCUUAAUGGAAAAAAAAAAUCUGAACUGAAUUAUCAAUAAAAUUCGAUAGAAGAAUUCAAAGUUCCAUACAACUUUGAAAGAAGGAAAUAAUUAAAAGAAUGAAAAAGAAACAACGACGACGAGCUCUCUUUUUUUUUUCUUCUUCUUCUUCUUCUUUCAUGUAUAUCUUUAUAUGAUAUGAAAGAUUCUUAAGCUUUGCGGAAAGGCAGUGAUGUUUACAUUUACGGGUUGUAAUGUAUUAUGUAAGUGUUGAAAAAAAUGGAAUCAUCAAAAUAGGGAUUGGUGGUUCAAUGUUCUAAUAAAUUCCCUAAUUCACAUAGGAUAGAUUCGUCGUCGUUUGCUUUGGCAUCAGAAACUUGUUUAUUGUUUAUAUAAAAAUGUUAUAUAUUGCUAUCUAGCUGUAUAGGGAUUUGCAUGAUUUGGAUUCUUGAUGCAAGCUUAUCUUAAUGUACAUAUAAAAAAAGAAGUUUGUGCUUUUCUUAGUUUUGUUUGAUUGAAAUCAUUUACUUUUUUGGAUGAUGAGAGCCGCAGUAAAGGAAAAAAAAGAAAAGAAAAAAGAGAAUACUAAAACUGAUAUAUUAAUACAAAAAUAUUUUCCAUCUUUACUAAAUAGUGGGGUUUGACCAUAAAUUUAGAAUAGGAAAAAUAAAUAAAUAAAUAAAUAAAUACAAAUUAGCAAUAGCCAUUAGCAUCGAAAGCAAGAGAGUGGAGAAUGGAAUUAGAAUAUCUUUGGUCGGCCUCUUACCUAAAAGACGAGUUUAAAAGGCAGGAACUAGAGUGUAGAUGAAGACUGGAAUUUUGUAAUAAUAAAUAAUUUUGACCUGUUGUUCUCAUAAGUGUCAACACUAAAUACAGUUAAUUUCAAUUAUUAAAAAAAAUCCAAAAAUUCCUUACCUAAUUUAAUGUGUCGCACGCAUUCUUAUCUGUUCAUGGGUAGAUCAAAAAUCUUUUAAUUAUCUUUUCAUUCCAGUCUGUUAUAUUUUAUAAUUAAAAAUAAUAAGAUCCAAAUUAUUGUGAAAAAUGUAAUAAAAGGAGGAAUAUAUUAUCCGUGAUUUUUCACUACCCCAUUCAUUAAUAAUUUCUUUACGUGAAGUGGGAGGGAAACUAAAACUGCAGACCACCAAUCAUGAUAAUGAAAAUGAUAUUAUUAAUUCUAGACUCACCUUAUUUCACUAAUUAAAUCUAUCAAUUCAAUAUUUCACACUCAUGGUAGGUUAAACAAGGAAAAGUUUGCCUUUGCGGCUACGGCAGUAGGCUAUUGGGCCCUGUAUGGGGUCUUAAGGGAUUCUUGAAGGCCUGUAACAGAUAGUAGGCUGAUUUCUAUGAACCCAUUGUUGUAAACAGCCUAGUAUAUCUUCCACUUUAAUUACUUGACAUUUAGAGAAAUUUAUAGAGUUUAAAAAAAAAGAAAAAAAAAGAGAGAUUCAUUUACGAUUUCGUCUUUAAAAUUAAAAUAAAUAAUAUCCGCUUAAAGUAGUGAUUGGGUUUUUCAAAUCUUAAUAUUAUAUUUUUUAAGAGAUAGUUGCAUAGAUUUUAUAUAAAUUAUUAAAAAAAUAAUUAAUCAUAUUUAUUCAUUAUAAAAAAACAAUAUUUUAAAUUUUCUAUUUUAAAUUAAUAUAUAAUUUACUCGUAACACUAAAUAUAUCCAUGAGAUGACAUGUUUUCUUUCAGCUUGAUGGUAUAAUAAUUAAAUAUUUUCACUAAGAAUUGGGUCCCAAUAUUUUGUGGGCCCAAGGUUCAAAUCCAUCACAAUUUUGAUUGCUGGAUGAUAAACUUAUCUUCUUCUUCUUUUCCUUUUGGUGAAAGGAAAGAGUCGUUGAUUUCUCAUGAUGAAACCAUCCUUCCCGCUUCCCCUUACAACAAUCACUCUUCUUCUUCAUUACUUGCUGCAUGGCUUCGCUUCCUUUCACAACCCCCAAAUUUUCUCAUUUCAAGUUAUCAAAAACAAUCAAAUCCUUCAAUUCAAAUGAGCCAAUUCAUCUUACACAACUCAAUGGAACCACCAGAAAUCAUCAUACUUUGUAUAAAUCUUACUUCCACACCAUAUCUUCACUUUGCAAAGAUGGCGAAAUUCAACAAGCUGUUGACUUACUCACUGAAAUGGACUCUAAAAACCUAUCGGUUGGACCUGAAAUAUACGGCGAAAUCCUUCAGGGUUGCGUUUAUGAACGAGAUCUUUUCACAGGUCAGCAAAUUCAUGCUCAAGUUCUAAAACACGGUGCUUUCUUUGCACGAAAUGAGUAUAUCGAAACAAAGUUGGUUAUUUUUUAUGCAAAGUGUGGUGCUUUUGAUGUUGCUAAUAAUUUGUUUAGUAGAUUGAGGGUAAAGAAUGUGUUUUCCUGGGCUGCCAUUAUAGGACUCAAGUGUAGAAUUGGGUUAAAUGAAGAGGCUUUAAUGGGGUUUUCUGAGAUGCAAGAAAAUGGGUUUUUGCCAGAUAAUUUCGUGGUCCCUAAUGCAUUGAAAGCUUGUGGUGCUUUGUUAUGGCUUGGGUAUGGGAAAGGGGUUCAUGGGCAUGUGGUGAAAGUGGGUUUUGAUGGGUGUGUCUUUGUUGCAAGUAGUUUGAUUGAUAUGUAUGGAAAAUGUGGGGCUUUGGAAGAUGCAAGGAAAGUGUUUGAUGCUAUGAUUGAGAGGAAUGUAAUUGUUUGGAAUUCGAUGAUCGUUGGGUAUAUGCAAAAUGGGAUGAAUGAGCAAGCAAUUGGGGUGUUCCAUGAGAUGAGAAUGGAAGGUGUGGAACCUAGUCAGGUAUCCAUAUCGAGCUUUUUAUCGGCUUCAGCUAAUUUAGGUGCAAUAGGUGAGGGAAAACAGGGGCAUGCCAUUGCUGUCUUACAUGGAUUCGAAUUGGAUAGCAUUUUGGGUAGUUCUGUUUUGAAUUUCUAUUCCAAGGUUGGUUUGAUUGACGAUGCCAAUCUAGUUUUCGAUAAGAUGCUUGAAAAGGAUGUAGUUACUUGGAAUUUGAUCAUUUCUAGUUACUUGCAAUCUGGCUUGAUCGAUAAGGCACUCGAUAUGUGUCACCUGAUGAGAUCGGAAAAUUUGAGAUUUGACUGCGUGACUCUAUCGUCUAUAUUGACCGCAGCUGCGAAUUCGAGCAAUAUAAAACUUGGAAAAGAGGGUCACUGUUAUUGUAUUCGGAACAGCCUUCAGUCUGAUGUGGUUGUUGCAAGUAGCAUUGUAGAUAUGUAUGCCAAAUGUGGAAGAAUUGAUUAUGCUGGACAUGUAUUUAGUUCCACUAAUAACAAAGAUAUCAUAUUAUGGAAUACAUUGUUGGCUGCUUAUGCAAAUGUUGGCCAUAGUGGUGAGGCCUUGAAGUUGUUUUAUCAAAUGCAGUUAGAGAGUGUGCCGCCGAAUGUAGCGUCGUGGAAUUCCGUGAUUUUAGGAUUUAUCAGGAACUCCCAGUUAAAUGAAGCUAAAGAGUUCUUCUCGCAGAUGCAAUUGCUUGGCGUCCACCCUAACCUUAUAACUUGGACUACUCUUAUCACUGGCCUGUCUCAUAAUGGUUUUCACGACGAGGCAUUACAGGUUUUUCAAGAAAUGCAAGAAUCGGGGAUCAAACCGAAUACCGUAAGCAUCAGUAGUGCACUUUCAGCUUGCACAAAUGUGACAUCAUUACAACAUGGAAGAGCAAUCCAUGGAUACGCUAUACGGCAUGACCUCGGUUCACAGAUUUCUGUUUCAACAGCUUUAGUUGACAUGUAUGCUAAAUGUGGAUGUUUAAGUCGAGCAAAGAGGGUGUUUGAUCAUAUCUCAAGCAAUGAAUUGCCUGUUUAUAAUGCUAUGAUUUCUGCUUAUGCAUUACAUGGUCAAGCCGGAGAAGCUCUUGCGGUGUACAAAAAUCUCAAGGAAGCUGGCAUAGAACCCGAUGGUAUAACAUUUACAAGUGUCUUAUCUGCGUGCAGUCACACCGGACUGGUAAAUGAAGGUUUAGAGAUUUUCAUUGAAAUGGCCUCUAAACAUCAUUUGUCGCCAAGCAUGGAGCAUUAUGGGUGUGUAGUUAGUCUUCUUUCUAGAUCAGGUCGUUUAGAUGAGGCUUUUAGGCUUAUUCUCACAAUGCCAUUUGAACCAGAUGCACACAUAAUCGGACAACUUAUUGCUAAAUGCAGAGAGCAUAACGAGAUUGAACUUGUGGAGCAUUUAUCAAAGUAUUUAUUAGAAUUGGAACCAGAUAAUUCAGGGAAUUAUGUGGCGAUUUCAAAUGCAUAUGCUACUGCAGGAAGGUGGGAUGACGUAUCUGAAAUAAGGGAUUUAAUGAAAGAAAAAGGGUUGAAGAAGAGUCCCGGGUGCAGUUGGAUUCAAAUAGGUGAAAAACUUCAUUCUUUCAUUGGUGGUGAUGGAUCACACCCCAAUACUGAGGAUAUACAAGCUACAUUGGCUUUGUUGGGAAUUGAUAUGAAAUCCAGUGCUUAAAAACUCUGUUCUUACGCACUAAUCAGAUCUGUAGGUAACAAAUGAAGUGCUCCAAGGAGACUCAACACCGGCUCGAGUUUAAGCAAAAAGAAGCAAACAACAAAUGGAUACUUUUUGCUUCAUUAGGAAGAAUUGUUCAGAAUGUUCGGCCAGGACCGAUGAGUUGAUGCUGAUUUAUCCGAAUUAUCGGACCAGAUAACAGCUUUGAGCUCCACACAUUAGACAUGUUGGAAGAAUGGAUAAUACUGCUUCACUCAUAUCAAUCUGUAUAAGAUACUCACACAAAACUCGAGGCGGUUCUGUUCGUAUUCAGAAAAAAUUACAGUAAAUUGAAUAAUGCAGCUAUGCUUCUUCAGUUUCUGGAUCUUCCAUUAAAAGAGGGCACUGGAAAAAAAAAUGACAAAAUUUGGAUUCAAAACCAAAUUCUUUUUACAUUUAUCAUGAGUUUAGGCUUGAUUAUUGUAGUAACAAAGAACAUUAUCAGCAAUUUAUUUUUUAAUCUUUCUCACUUUAGCAUCAUUUGUAAUUACACUAUAAUAAAUACCCCAAAUUUCUACCUAAAAAGGGAUUUGCGUACACCUUAUACAAAUUUGGAUGUACAUAAAUACGAGUAUAGGAGAAGAAUCCUGAGUAACAUAAGCCGAUAGUUUUUACCGGUUGAGGUUUCUCAAGCAGCUAAUAGCCGAAGCCCAAACUUCGAGCACCAUCUUUUAUGUUUAUGCCUUUUCCAAGGUAUCCAAUGAAGGGUAUUUUCUCCUCUUUUUUUUUCUUUUCUCUUUUUCCUGCACUUGCUUCGUAUGGUUUUGCUUUUCUACUCACAUUACAUGUGCACAAAGUACAAUAUCCAAUGCUGCAAAUCCAUGGGGACCAAUCAACCUGUGGUUUGCAAUGGAACAACAUUAUAGUCAGCUUCUUCAAACACCUCAAACAAUCGAUAUAAAGCAUGAAGACGAUUAACAUUCAAUGGUUUACUAGGCUGUUAUACAAAUUUAAUUUUUUUCCCUAGGUCCUUAGUCUUCGGUGAAAGAAAAAGAAGGCAUUUUUUGCGUCAUUAGCAACCACCCCUCUCUAGCACUGCACCUUGUUUCAUGGGCAAGCGAAGCCCACAAAUGGAACAAGUUGCUUUUCACAAGGCAUCACAUCAAAACUAAAGUUAACUAUGUUCCAUAAAGUAGUUAACAAUCAUUAAAUUUAUAGACUUUGAGAUGUAAUUUAUAUAUAUUAACUAUUUAUUAUGAAUUAGAUUGUUUCCGCAACUACCUUCUUUGAUUGUGUACUUCACCUUAUUAUAUUUAUUAUGAUUAUUCAAUUAAUUCAUUAGUUCUGAUGUGAUUUCAAUGAAUUGGCAUUCACUUACUUACAUCCAACAUAUGAGGCCUUUCAAGUUGGUGAGAUUUCAAUGGAGGUGUUUUUUUGUCUAAUGAGUGAAAAUUUUAUGAGAACAUUAGAAACCUUGAGAGAGAAUUGAGGUUAUCUUGUCUGAUCCAACUAACAUUAAAAAUCAAGAGAUGAUUAUGGUUUUUGACUGUCAUACAAGUAAAAUGGCAAAAAGCCAAAUCCAUUUCCAAAUGGCAGCUUUUCAUAUAUAUAUAUGGAUUCAAAGAUGAACUUAGAAGGCAAGAAACUGGUUAGCUUAGGGUUUAAGAUAACCAUAAUACAUUUGCAUUAUUAUUAUCAGCCAAACUCCAAAAAAAGGUCUUUGAAAAAAAUAAGAUGAGCUAAUUAAAGCCACCUUAAAAGACCCAUAAAAGGACUUAAUGAAUAGGGUAAAAAAGUUUAGCUGAACUGUAUUUUGUGAGGGAAAAUAAAGAAAAUUAGGUCAACCUGGAUUACUCAUCAUUGUAAAAUAAAGCUAAACAUGACCUGUAAAAUUAAGUGAUAAACAGUAGUGUUGUAAAUAUGCAUUGAUGAAUGAAGAAUCCAAUGCCCCCCCCCCACCAAAAGUGCCUAUUUGGCUAUUUCCUUUUUAAGUGUUUUUAUGAUAAAAAAGAUUUAUAUUAACAUUCUUUUUAUUUGUUUUUUAGGUCAUUUUUUUUACUAUCAUCAGAUAAAACUAGAGAAGUGAGACAGAUUUUAUUUUUCUGGUUUUGAUUUUUUUUAUUGCUUUCUUGGUGUCUUUAUUAUAUCAAUUCAGGUUCAUGGACCACUAAAUAAUUUACGUAAACUGCCAAUGCCCAAUGGGGCUAAGGUCCUUUUCCAUCUCUUUGGUUGAUGGAAGAAUAGAGAUUAGAGGUUAGCAAAAUUUGAUUUAAUUCGAAAAGUUUGAAAAUAAAUUUAAAUUUUGUGUUAAUUAAAUUGAGUUAUUCGAUUUUUUUAGUCAACUCAAAUAAGUAAUUCGAGUUUUGAGUUUAAGUCAAGUUAAAUUUUACAAUUUAAAUAAUCUGAAUAAUAGAUUCGUAUAAAUACAUUUUUGGUCUCUAUCAAUUUUGAAAAUAAGUAAAUUGGUCUUUCUUUCAACAAAAAUUACAAAAAAAAUCAAAAUAAUUUUAAAAUAUUUAUAAAAAUUUCAAAAUAUAUAUUUUAAAAAAUUCAAAAAAAAUUCUAAAGAAUAUAUAAAGAAAUUUAAAAUUUUUAAAAAUUAAUAAUUUUGGGACCUAAUUAAGUUAAUUAAUUAUUCAAGUUUAUCAUAUUAAAGAUUUUUUUUUCUUAUUUUGCUUUGAAAAAAUUUUCAAAUGUAUAUGGUUUUACAUUUAUGUGCUCUAACGUGGAAUUGGUUAUACUGUAAUAAGAUUUUAAUUUGACUUAUACUCGAACAAUUUCACUCAAUUCUACUCGACUUAAAUUUCAUUUUAUUCGACUCGAUUCGAAAAAUUUCAAAUCGAGUUAGGAUGAUAAAAUAAGAAUUGUCAAUUCAAUUAACUCGAUUCGAUCGAAUGCUCACCCUUAAUGGAGAUGGCAUAUGUUAAGAUUCAAAUUAAUUUAAUUAAGUUGAUAAUGAAUUAUUUAAAGAAGGAUGUUUUGUUGAUUAUAAAUGGGAGUAGUUUUAAUUUACAAAAAGAAAGAAAAAGGAAAUCUAGAAAUAUUCUUAGCCUUGCAUCUUAUGCAAAUGAUCUGUCGCCAUAAUCAUUCACGGUGUUAUACAAAUUGAUUACGUCCAGGGAAUUUCAACCACUACAACUUAAUAUUCUAAAGGGUUUGAUCUGUGUUAUCAAGACUUAAUUGAAAAGAAAAAGUGAAGAUAUUGAUGAUGUGAUAAUAGGGGUGGGUCCAUACAUAUAUGUCCCACACCUUGUUUUCUUCUUCAUUAAUCCUUUUUCUUCUUUUUGAAAUGAAAAAACAGUAUGGAGAAGACAACCUGAUGUAGGGUUUAAUUAAGAAUAAUCGAAUAUUAGGUCAAACAAUCAAAACCAGACAAUGUGUAAGAGAUGUUUUUUUUUCUUUUUCUAUCUUUUUUUAUUUUGGCAAACUACACACUUUCGGUGCACCAAAAACUUUGCUUUCUCCGGCAACUGCUUAUCUGUUAAUAUCCCCCCCCCCUUCUUUGUUUACCUAUAUACUUUUAUUUUUAAAUCUAAUUGUUAAUAUUAUUUUUAUUAAACUCGGUUUUAUGAUAAUGUUAUUUUUAAUUGCAUUGCUAUUAAAUGAUUUUUUUUUUAUUUCCAAAUGAUCCACUAAUAAAUUUAACACCGUUAACAAUUAAAUCUGAAUUUUAAAAAUUAAAAAUAAGAGGAUCAAAUUUUAAAUUUGUGAAAAAUACAGAAAUCUAUACUAUAUUUUAACCACCUAUCAUAUAUUAUAAUAUUUCAUGUGUCAAUUAAGAUUUUGCAAAUAUAAAUUAUAUAAUUAAAGAAUGACUACUUAAUUUAGUAAAAUAGUUCAAAUGAGCCAACAAAUGAUUUGAAGAAAUGAAAGUGAAUUGUUUUCUCCGGUAGUAUUUGGACCAAACUCAAAUUUUAAAAUCAACAUAUUUAAGAGAGUUUCACUUGAAUACCAUCUCUUACUUAAUUAGGAUUAAGCUCAAAUCACGGAUGAUGAUACGUGUAAUUAUAUAGAAAAUGUUAAAAUGACGAUUAAAUGCUAAUUUAAUAAAUUAUACAAGCAUAGAGACAUUAGAGAUAAGCAAUGGGCAGGUGGCAAUGAAGCGAGGCGGAGACAAAUAUUAUUAAUCCCAUCAUCGCUCUACAAUUGGUAUGGUCAGCUCCAUCACUCAUCUUGUUCCAUUAUAGAUGUAUAAUUUUAAAAAUUACUACUACCUCCAUGGAAAAAUUUACUAUUUAUUUUUAAUAUUUUUCAAAUCAAAUAAAUAGUUAAACAUAAUUCUUUAAAAAUAUAUUUAAACAUAAAAUAUAUGAUUUUUUUUAUAUUUCAUUAUUACAUAUUUACUCUUUUUUUGUAAUAUAUAUAUAAAUAAAAUGAUAAUUUCAUAUAAUGAAAUGAAUCGAGACAAAUAAUUAAUAUAAUCGCUCUUUAUUCAUUAUCCUAAUCAAAACUAAACAUCCACUCUACCCCACUUCUAUUUUUCAAAAAUAAAAAUUCAUUCGAAACGAAUCGUUUUGGAAUUAAUAUUUGGUGUUUACUGUGAUUCGCUGGACGACCAAUACCUACACAUUACCCGAAUUCCGAUAAUUACUUUUCUUUAUACCCUCCCUGCCUAUUUUUGACCAUUUGUAUUUGCUUGUCCAAGGCCGAAAUUGUAUGCGGGAAAAAUGAAGUUGAUAGACUGAGUGGGUCCGAUCAAACAGAUCCAGCUUAGCCACGUCAAACAUAAUGUUUAACCAUUUUUUAUGAAAAAUGAAAAAUGAAAAAAAUCCAUUAUUUUAUUUUUAUUCUUUUGUCUAGGGAAAAAGAAAAGAAGGAAAGCCGGCCAGGCUGUUCCCCACUCUUGGCUUUUGCGUUUCUUUUCCUCUGGCUACCAUGCCAAUCCAUGAACAGACAAAAGUUCUCUCCCCCGGUGAAAAUAUCAUAUCUCCAAAUCUGCCCAAUCAUCAUCAUUAGUACUUUUGAGCUACACGUGUCAUGCCUCUAGUCCCUCCGAUUCCAGUUCGGUUCUCCAUUCCAUCAUUUAACUACGCUUCUAAUCCCGUUUAAAUAGGCUCCCUUGCCUACAUUUCAAUUUUCUAUCAGGAAUCAAAAUAAAAUUAACUUAUGUGAUGAAAUAUUGAAAUAAGGAAAUUUAAGGAAACUAUCCACCUCGUUACUUUUUAAUUCAAAUUGUGGCGAGAGAAAUUCUAGAAAUAAUACCAAAUAACCAAAAUGGAUUGUUUUUCUUCCUCAUUUUACCUAUUCAACUUCUAUUUUCUCCUUAGACUUUUACAAGGAAUUUUCAACUACGUGAUUAGCUUGUCACAUGGCCAUUGCAAUAAAAGAGAUUAGGAGAAAGAAAAAGAAAAUCAUCUAAUUCAUCAAAUGGUCAAAUUCCAAUAAGUUCAUGGAACUCCCCCAUCUUUCAAAAACAUUUCAAAUCCCCCCCCCCUUUUCUCAACUCCAUCUAUAAAAAUAAUUGCAAAUUAAAAAUUAAGGAAAAGAAUAAACCCCAGGAUAACGAAAUUUAAAAAAAAUAGCAAAAAAAAAAAAAGACACAAAUUUAGGGGCAAACAUUAAUUACUUCCCCCAAUCAAAUGCGCACUUUAUCAUUCUUUUACUUACGCUUUCUGCACACUUUAACACUCCCAUCCCCACACACACUCUCCUUUCACUUUUCCGAUUCACUUUGUCUUUUCCUUUCGUUGUUGAUAUCACGCACGCUCAAGGAGUGGUGGAGCGCGGUGUGGUCCUUGAUUCUGUGGGAGGAGUUUGUCCGUCUGAUCCUUUCGAAGGAUCAUCAGAUGAUUGUCGUAAUCCGUCGUCUGUUUCCACUCUAUUCAUUUCUUCAAUCAUGCGUACCACUUCUUGCAUGGAGGGUCUUUGAUCUGGCACCGUUGACACACAAGUCAUCGCGAUUUGUAAUAGUUGCACCAUUUCCUCUUCGAUGCUGUGAUAUCUCAUCAAUUCCACGUCGAAAACUUCGGCCGUCCAUUCUUCCCGAACCACGGAUUGGACCCAACGAGGAAGAUCGAUCCCUUCUUCGCCUAACGAUGCUUGAUUAGGUGCUUUGCCGGUUAAUAACUCUAGCAACAACACUCCACAGCUAUACACAUCAGACUUGAAAGUAACUUUUCGGGUUUCAAGCACUUCAGGUGCUCGGUAGCCUGCAACACGACUAGGUGGGGUGGAGUUGCCGAACAAAGGAUUGAGACCGAAGUCAGAGAUGCAAGCAUCUUGGUCUGGUCGGAGAAGGACGUUGGAGGCCUUGAUGUUGCCGUGCACCACCUUCCCGGAAACAUGGAGAUGGGCUAAACCCCUAGCCGUGCUCAACGCUAUUCUCAUCCUGUUUUCCCAACCUAACGGAGUUCGGCCUGAGCCUCUACUACCUGCAGCAUAUUUUCACAAAACCCUUCACAUCGUUAUCAAAAACAAAAAGUAAUUUGCCCACGUGAGCCUGUAAUUUUCAUGAUUAGUCAAAAUAAACCUAAUGGUCAAAAUCCUAAUACUAAGCAUAAGCCAAAAAAAAAAAAGUGUAGCUUCCUUGAAUUGAAAAGAGUUUUUGAUUAUUACAAAGCAGUAAGCGUUAUAAUUGGCACUUAAAAGCAUGAUUUCAAGGUUGCAGAGCAAAUUUAGUGAAAAAAAAAAAGGGGGCAAUGAAAUAAUGUCGGUGGAUCCAUAUAUGAAUCAUGAGACUGCAUGUUACAAUGCUGGUGGUUGAAUGCAAAUGAAGACAAAAAAGACAGCCAUUACAAGCAUAAUACAUACUCUUGUAAGAAUGUUUGCAGAGGAAGUGGGGGAAUUGUACAAAGAAACCCAUAACCCGGACAUUACUCUGGUUAUUAAAUUGGAAAACUUAAAACAUUUUCUUCAAUGAUUAAGAACCUUUCCAUUAUUAAAUUCAUCACUGUAACAUCAACCAAUUAAAUAUUACAUUAUCCCAACAACAUUCCAAAAUGUCCCCACAAAAAUAAUAUUAAGCAUAAAUUUGAAUGAAUUAUUAGGCUGUUUAAGGGGGGGGGGAACCCAGAAAAAGUCAAGUAAAUAAAAGAAUGAAAUAAUGAAAUGAAACCGAGAAAAGUUACCGUGAAGCAGGGCAGACAAGCUACCGUCGCGCAUGAAGUCGGAAACGAGCAAUUUUUCAUCUUUGGAGUAAUAAAAUGCUCUUAAAGGAACCACGUUUUCAUGCCUGAUUUUGCCCAACGUUUCCAUUUGCAUUUCGAACUCCUUUUUACUCAAGGCAACGUCUUUUAACCGUUUAACGACCACCGUCGUCCCUUCUUCUAGCACUGCCUUGUACGAUGUUCCGACACUACCUUUUCCCAAUACUUCAGCUGAAGCCCUUAACAAAUCCUCCAGAUCGAAGCUAUAAACCCCACCUUCGAAGAACACCAGCUUAUUCCUUUCCCCUUCUGUUGAUGCUCCGGUGAUAUCAUCUUUCGACGAGGAGGUUCCAGCCUCCGCCGGCGGAACCGCCCUUGCGCCGGCCGCAACCGGCUUCUGCUGCUUCGACGGCUGCCGUUGCCGCUUCCGGAGGCAAAGAAUGAGGAAUAACAGUAAUAGUAACGCUGCGAAUGCCGACCCCACGGCAAUACCAAUGAUGGCGCCGGUGGAAAGGUUUCUAGACUUUUUACCAGAUGUUGAGGGCGAAAUGGGCUCGGAAGGAGAUGGUGCCGGCGAAGGGAAAAAUGGGUUACAAGGCGGGAGUGGGCCACCGCAAAGGCCAAGGUUUCCGGCGAAUGAAGACGCAGGGUAUUUAGAUAGCGUAUCGGGAAUGGAACCGUUUAAGCUGUUAUUAGCAACAUCGAACUCAUUCAAACCGUCGGAGUUGAUGCUCGGAAGAGAACCGGAAAAUCUGUUGUUUUGCAAGAAUAACCCUGUCAGCUGAGUCAAAUUGUUGACCCCAAAAGGGAUUGGACCCGUGAAAUUAUUGGAAGAAAGAUCAAGCCGUGACAAACGAGUUAAACCGGUCAAACUGGGUGGGAACGGGCCUGUAAAGGCGUUAUCUUGCAAAUAAAGGCUACGGAGGAGAGUCAAAUUGGAGAAGUCGGCAGGGAUCUCACCGAAUAAACCGUUAGCUCGGAGACUCAAAACUCGGAGUUGGUUUAACCGACCGAUGGUGUUAGGCGGAAUCGAGCCAACGAGACCCACAGCUGGGAGCCUAAGAGUAUAAACAAAAGAGCGGUUCGCAUCGCAUUGGACGCCGACCCAAUUGCAGGCUGAAGUUGAUGAGUUCCAUUGGAUCCGGUUCGAGUGUUUGGUCUUUGAAAGGAACGCAAGGAGAGCUUGCUUGUCUUGAACAGGCUCUGAGGUCACUCCCAAACACAAUAUCAGAACCGAAACUAAAAAAACAAAGCUAAAAUUUACAACCAUUUUGGGAUUUCACUUGAAAAAAUGGAACACAAGAAAGAAAUGAGGAAAAAUAGUCGGGUUUCACUCUAUAUUUGCUUUGUUUUUCUCGGCGGCCGGUGAGACCCAAGUACGAUUUUCCGGUGAGAACCCAUAAAAGAAAAAAUGAAAAAUCGGAAGGAGAACAGUGUGGUUUUGUAAGGUAUCACGAGAUUACAGAAAAACGAAAAAAAAAAUAGAGCUGAACUAGAAACAGGAGAGAGAUAAGCGAGCAUAUGGCUUUGCUGGCGACUGGCAGUGGUGGGAAAAGCGUUUUAUUUUCUAAUAAUAUUUUCUUCAUAUUGGUAAACUGAAAAUUAAAAAAGAAGAAGAAAAAGAAAAAGCGCUUGUCUUUCUUUUCUUUUAACUUUUGCUUGCCUAUUCUGUUGUUAACGCUCGACUGGGAGCGCGUGGGAUUUGUUAAUUUUGAUGAUAGCUACUACUUCGAUUGCUCCAUGUGAGUGUCAAUAUUUGGACUUUGUUGUGAUGGAAGGGAUGGGUCCCGACCGUAAACCAUCGCUCUACUUACGUAUUCUAUGAAUCGUAUCAGCUAAAGGGAGUGGAUUCCACGCGUUUAAACAGAGUGGGGGGUUUUUUAAUUCAUCGAUACACGUUUCUCUUGUUUUUUCUUUGGAUGGUGAGACUAUUUUCGCUCUCAGUUCUCAAUAAAACUUUGAUCCUAUUGGAUAGGUGCUGGGAAGUAAAAUUAAAAAAGGGCCUACUUUUCUCGCACUGAUUCGGUACACAGUACACACACUGGUUUCACAUUUGGUGAUUCAUCGGACGGUUCCAGAGCUCCGGAUGCGGGUACCCAUCACAUGAUCAAUGUGACAUUGGUUUGGCCGGUACCAUUAAUGGUUGCAAAACUUUAUGAGUGUUUGACCAUUGAAAAUCGAUCGACAUGUGGCAAUAGCUUACGAGUGCUUGAUUUUAGACACAGUCGUACUUUGGUUCGGCUCGGCUUGGGUGCCAUUGUUGGGAGUUUAUAAUUGACUCAUCACUGAGAAAUGAACUGGAAUGAGGCAGCAGUCAUUUGGCAUUUCUAUUCUUUUUCUUUAUAGUCAACAGAUUAAGAAUUUGAAUGAAGAAAUCAAAUUCCAUUUAAGCAUAAAUUGAAAUUUAGCAUGUGUAAGUGGUACAUUUUUAUAACUUACCUUUCUAUAUACUUCAAACAUUAAUAUAUAUUUCCACUUUAUUUUUUCAACUUUUAUAUCAUAAAUUGAUUCUUUCUUAUACUUUUAUAUCCAAAUUUGUUUAAGUUGAAUGAAUUUUAGUUAUAAUUGCGUAUUAUUAAAUCUUUACAAAAAUUCAAUACUUUAUAAUAAAUAGGUUAUUUGAAUGGAAUGAAAACUCAUUAAUUAUAAGUAGGCGGUUCAUAUUUCAAACAAUAAACGCGUAUUUGAGUGAAGCAACGUCUUUGUUGUAUGUUAAAGAAAAUAUAACUCAGAAGUUGAGGAUUUGAAUUGCCCUUUUGACUUUUUGGACAUCAAUUCGCAUAUUUCUCAAUUUAUUGCAUGUAAAUAAAAUAAUUAUAUAAUCAUGUUACAAUCUUAUCUUUUUCAAAAUCAAUUACAAAAUUCAAAUUUGAUGUGUUUCUGUUGAAUGCCAUUUCAAUUGAUACAAAUAUUGUGUUGGAUUUAGAGAUUAUAAGUCGAGUCAGGGUACAAUACAACAAUAAUCAUUAUUUAGUUAUUUUUAUUUUUAUUUAUUCAUUCAAUUUUUUGAAAUUAAAUAUUUUAGUUCAUAGAUAAAAAGUUGAUAGGGACUUUUUUUUUUAUUGGCUUAGUAACAAAUUUGACACUCCAAUAUUUAUAUAUUCUAUUAAUUUGAUCCCAAGUCUAAUAAGAUAGGUAAGAGAGGGUCCAGUUAUUUUUUUAAUAAAAUUUAUUGAUUUUUUUAAAUGUGAUAUCACAUUGCUAGGAUGUGUAAAUAUUGGAAAGUUAAAAAUAUUAAUAGGCCAAUAAAAAAACUCACAUCAACUUUCUAACCCUUAACUUAACUAACGAAAAAGGACUAAAGUAUUUAAUUUUAAAAAAUUAAAUGACUAAAUAAAAUAAUAAUUGAGUGACCAAAAUACUAUCUACCAACAGUUCUAAUCUUAUUAUUGUCCAAUUAAUUUUUCUAAUAUAUGCUUAGUUGUCAUUUGAUUUUAUAAAAAAAAAAAUCCUAAAAAGAGCCUUGAAAUGUAGUGGUAGAAGGUAUGGUAUGGAUAUCUUCAGCAUGUGAUAAGGCAAUGGGAUCAUCAUUCUUUUUAACGCCCCAAAUUAUUGAAUGGGUAGGACACUUUUUUCCCAAUAAUUAUUUCUCAUAAGAUGAAUUUGAUUCAUUUGGCAAAGCUUUUUUUAAAUGGUAUAACUUUAAUCUUUUAAUUUUUGAAGCUAUCUUAGGAAAUUUGGGGAAAAGGGUGACUUAAAAGGUUAAAAAAAUAAUAUGUAUAAGGUUGCAUUAUUUAUUUAUUUAUUUUUGCAUAAGCAAGGUUAUAAAAUUUGUCAAUAACCAUUAAAACUUGAUUUUAUUUAAAAUUUUAAAAUAAAAAGUGGGGAGGUGGACCGCUCCUAAAAAUUCAAAAUUUUAUAAGCACCUUACAUAUAUAUAUAUAUAUUACUGUAGGUAUAUUUGUAAAAACCAAAGUUAGGUCAAUAUUUGUAAUAAAAAAAUUGUUUUCGCAUCUUCCCCUCGUUUAACUAAUUCUUAAAAUUUUAUUCAAUGAUAAUUUUUCUGUUUUUUUAAAUAAUACAUUCUUUUACCUACAACUUAGAAUGAUGUAUCGAGUUUAAAACACACGAAUUUUAAACCAACAGAAUAACUGGGGCACCAAUUAAAUUUUUAGUUGAAAAUUUCAUCAAUUUUUACUAUUAAAAAUCAGUUCAUGAAUAUUAACAUAAUGAGAUAUACGUGGUACAUCAAGUGUAAUUAUUUGAUUAUUCUGUCAAUUACGUCAGUUUUUAAUAGUAAAAUUUAACUAAAAAAUAAUUUAUUUUUUAAUUUAAUAUAUAAUAACUAAUUUACUUAUUUUUUAAUGGAUAAAAUAAAACGUAAAUUGACUAGAGUUUUAUAAUACUUUCUAAAUAUUGAUGAUAACAAAAAUACAUAUAGUAGUUCUAUCUAUCAAUAAAAUGUUGACUAUCUUACUUUGUACAAAAUUUCCAUCAAAUACAUGAAAUGUAAAUUUUCCCCCCAUAAAUGGCCAUCAAAAUUCGAAAUUUGUACUCUUCCCUGAAUAUAUGGUAUGUGUUUCUCCUAUAGGUUUCUGUAUUUGCUGAAACAAAAAGUGCAGUGUUGCAAGUUGCAACUGCAACCAUAACACUCUCUGUCGAGUCCACUUGGUAAUGCUCAUUUCACACGCCCACCACUGCAGCCAUAAGAUUCAAUUUCAUGCCAUCAAAUUUAUUAUUAAAACACUUGAUACAUAAAUUAAGUUCCAUAUAAUAUAAAUUAUUCACGUAUUCAAUUUGUAUAAAUAUACAAUACUUUGAUUGAUGACAACCGAGAAAAAGUUAAAUGAAGUUUUGAUUCGAUUGGUAAAAUUAGAUUUAUUGAUUUUUAAGUAUCAAAUUUAAGAUUUAUCAUUUGUAAUUUUAUGUUUAAGUCUCGAAAUUUUAUCAUUAGUAACUGUUAUGUGAUAAGUGCUAAAAGCAACAUGUUUUGAUUUCAUUUUUAAUGCGUUUUUGGGUGGUUUUUCAAUGUUAAUGGUGAAUUUUAUCCUCUUAAUCCUUUAAAUUCAUAUCUUUAUACUUGGGAGAGCAUUUGGGAGCGAAAACCGAAUCAGAGUAAGGUACAGGAGCCACAUGGGAUGACCCAUUCCACAUGCCCGUUUGAGCCACACGACCAUGUGGCAGACCGUGCCGAUUCUGCGAAUUGACACCCUGAACUGCGGGAAAACGUGGUUUUCAGAUUUUUCUGGUAUUCUAAGACAUAUAUAUGACAAAAAUAAGAAGAUAUGAGUGAUCCGUCAUAGAAAACUCAAGAAAACAACUCAAAAAAUACCAUCGAAGCUGAUUCUGAAGCAGAUUUAUGUCAAGAUUGAAUACUCCUGGUUGAUUUCUUAGUAAACCAUGAUGAGUUUAUUUAUUUCUUUCAAUUUUAUUGUCUCCAGGAUGUUUUUUUGUUUGUAAGUAUAAACUAAUUUUUUAAAUACCUAGGGGAGAUGAACCCUAUGAUUGAUUAUGUCAUAUGAUUUUUAUUUUACGUAAUAAAUACUUAGAUAUUAUUCUCAAUUAUAUGUGCUUAAUCAUUAGUUUGACAUUUCUAGACUAUUAAUUCAUAUUUGAUGUACUUACCGUAACUAUACUAUUAAUUGAUAGGUGCACUUGUUUUAGUCGGCUUUUUAGUUAGUUUCGUGGACAUCACUAUGUGUGGGUUUAGUCUAGUUAAUUUAGUUUAUUGACUUUAAUUUAAACUGUACUAAUUAUUAGUUCAAUCGUAUUGUAAUAGUUUUAUUCUACUUUGCGAUUCAUUAAAUAAUAUGUGUUGUAAUAAUUUGAUACUUACAAUUAUUUAAACACAUUUGUAUUUGUGCUUUAACUGUACUUGACACACUUUAAAAAAAAACUACUAGAAAAAAUUCUAUUAAUUCUUUGCCGUUCUGAAUACAAAUUUCAUCAAGUAUAAAUUUAACAGUUGUAUCAGAAUGAUUCAAAUGUAUUUUAGUUUUAUUUUGGGAAGGGAAAUGAAUUUUAGUUUAAUUAUUCAAUUGGUUACUGAAUGAUAUUGUUAGAUCCUAAAAUGAAUAAUGAAUAAUAUGUUAGUUGUCAAGCACCACCAAUUCUAUUUGAUAUAUAACAUGAGGUUUUUUUUUUUUGUCUAAAUCGGGUAUCCACCGUCGAUAGCAUAUUUAUUUUCCUCAUCGUAAAUGUUUUCUGAAGAAUAUAAGACCACUUUUAACCCUUACACCAACAAUCAAUAAAAUUUAAAUAUCAAACAACGGUCAAAGUGUAAUUCUCAAUACAAUUAGCUCACCAUUUAAUUUCACAGAUCGAGUCAAUCCCCUCUAAAAUACUUUGGUAACUUCAUGUACACAUUAGUUCAAUGAAGACGAACAACAUGAAUCAAUAAUGAUUUGUUGUUUUUUUUUUUGUAGAGUUAUAUUUUACAUAUGAUUAUAACAUAUAAAAUAUAUAUAAUAUUUUAAACACGAGUUCAAUGAAGAAUAACAAUAGGAAUUGAGUAGGAUUACAGUUUACCCAAAAAAUAAAUGUCCUUCAUUUGGUUUCUUGAGGUGUAAAGUAGCAGAAAAUGGUUAAAUCCGUUGCUGCUGCCCCCCUACCCAGUUACUCUACUACGUACUAAUCAUAUGUUUGGGAAGAGUCGUUUUAAGAUUUGAAAAAAAAAAUGUGAAUAAUUAAAUAAUAUUAUAUUAUAUUAUUGUUUUGUUUUGUUUUAUUGUGAAUUUUCAUGCCAUCUAUCUUUAAUUCUUUAUUUCUAUAAAUAGAAAAAUCGAUGAAAUCAAUAGCCUUUUACUUUUACUAUUGUAAUAUAUUAUAACUAGAUUUGAUCCUGUGUCGGGUUAGAUUUGAGUCGGAUCAAUAUAAGUUUUUAAGUUUGUUUUUAGGCUCGGCUCAAGAAAUGUGUCUAAAAUUUUGUCCAAAUCUGACCCAGAUAAAAAUACUAAACCCGAGCUCGAUCCGUCUCGUCCAUUUUAUUUUUUUAUAUUAUUAUUUUUAUAUAAAAUAAAAUUUAAAAAAUACAAUAUAUCAAACACAUUAAAAAAUAUUAAAAUAAAAAUUUCCCAACAAAUUAAAAAUAUAUUCAAAAAAGUCUUUAUACUUAAAUAAUAUUAAGAUAGUUGCAACUUAACAAGCAAAUGUUUUUAAGAUAGUAACAAAAACUUAGCAAGCAAAUGACUCUAAAAUAAUAACAAAAUUAAUAAUAAAACAAGAGUUAAACAAUAUUUGAACAAUAACAACAAAAUAUUAGCAAUAUCAUAACAAAAUGACAACAAACAACAACAAAUAACAGUGAAAAAAAAGGCAAUUUUGGGUUGAGUCGUAAAACAAAAGGGAAUGACCGAGGUAAUGAAAGAAAUAAUAACAAGAAAAGCUCAAAGUAUUGAAGAACGUUUUUGAUUAUUGAAAUUAAACACAAAAUUACAUUAGAUAAAAUGACAUAUAAAUAGCUUAACUACAUGUAACGUUAAAGCUAAAAACCUACAACUAAUAGCCCACUAAAACCUCAACUAACAAAACAUAAUAUGAUCAUAUCCCUAUAAAAUAGGAACCAACUUAUUUGAUAAAGAAAACAAGUAAAUUAAAAAAUCCAGUAAGAUGCACUAAUUUUUAACACUCCCCCUUAGUGCAUGCUUACGAUCAAGAACUCCAAGAGCAUCUCUAAAUUGCUGAAACUUAGGCUUCACCAAAGCCUUAGUGAAAAUAUCAGCCACUUGAUCGUUGGUGCGAAUGUUUACAAGCUCAAUCUCUUCACUUAGAACCUUUCCUCGAACAAAAUGAUGUCGAACCUCAAUGUGCUUCGUUCGAGCAUGAAAAACCAGGUUCGAUGCAAGCUUAGUAGCACUUUCAUUAUCACACUUGAUUUUUACAGCAUAAUCAACUUUGCAUAUGUCUCCAAUCAACCUCUUCAACCAAAUGCACUCUUGUGCAGCCAUAGUUGCUGCCACAUACUCGGCUUCAGUACUUGACAAAGCAAAAACACAUUGCUUUUUGCUACACCACGAAACCAUUGUUGAACCGAUGCUGAAACAAUAUCCCGAAGUCGAGUGACGGUCGUUUGUAUCUCCAGUACAAUCGGCAUCAGUAAAUCCACUCAACAUAAAGCUAUCACAUCUCUUGUAUAGAAGACCAUAACCAAUAGUUCCUUUAACAUAACGCAAAAUCCUCUUUGCUGCAUCCAUAUGAAUAGUUGUUGGAUUCUGCAUAAAUUGAGAAACAACACUAACAGAGUAUGAAAUUUCAGGCCUUGUUGGUCAAAUAGAUUAAGCUUCCAACAAGUUGUCGGAACUUCCUUGCAUCUUCCAACGACCUCCCAUCUUCUUUCUUCAACUUCAAAUUCGGCUCCAUCGGAGUAGCUUUUUCUUUCGACUCCCUCAUACCGAAACACUCCAAGAGAUUCCUUGCAUAGCCUUUUUUAGAAACAAGGUAACCUUGAUAUGAUUUUUCCACUUCUAGACCAAGAAAACAUCCAAUCUCCCCCAAAUUUUUCAUCUCGAAACGAACAGACAAGUCAUUCCUCAAAUUACAAAUUUCUGAUUCAUUAUCUCCAGUUACUAUCAUAUCAUCAACAUAUAAUAAUACCAAGCGAUGUGCACCUGAUUCCAAUUUUAUAAAUAAACUAGAAUCUGAUUCAGAAACUCUAAAGCCACAAAAAAUGAGAUAUUGAGCAGCUUUACCAUACCAUGCCCGUGGCGCUUGCUAAAGGCCAUAUAACGCUUUCCUCAAACGGCAAACACGAUCGGGAAAUUCCUUAGAGACAAAGCCAACAGGUUGCUCCAUAAAUACUUCACGAUCUAAAUCUCCGUAAAGAAACGCAUUCUUUACAUCAAGUUGCCAUAGUCUCCAACCUUUAAACGCAGCAAGCGAAAUAAUCGAUCUCACCGUCACCAUCUUUGCUACUGGGUUGAACGUCUCCUCGUAGUCCAAUCCAUAAUUUUAAGAAAAACCACGACCCACCAGACGAGCUUUAAAUCUAUCAAUGGUGCCAUCCAAUUUUUUCUUCACGCGAAAAACCCAUUUACAAGUGAUUGACUUACAAUUUUCUGGUUUAGGAACCAACUCACACGUCUCAUUUUUGUCUAAAGCUUCAAUUUCUUAUUCCAUGGCUGCCUCCCAUUUUGAAUGGCCUUUGGCUUCUUCAUAACUUACUGGUUCUUCAUCAGACGCUCCAACAAAGAAACAAGAAGUGAUACUGCAAUGAUUAAGCUGCACCUCAUAGUCUCUGAGAUACUCAGGUUGUCUCGUUUCUCUGGUAGACCUCCUCACUCUCUGUUGCUCACCACCCUCAUGUCGUUGAACAUUCUGACUUGGAGUUGGUGUUGGAGAUUCAUUUUCCAACUCAUCAUCAGUAAAUGGUUGCAAAUUAACUCUUGGAAAUAGCUCAUCCAAGUUUUCACCAUCACCUUCAAGAACAAUAUUUUCUGCAGCAAAUCUUUGAGUGGAGUAGAAAGAUGAUAAUUCAUCGAACAUGACAUCUCUCGAAGUAGUAAACUUCUUCGUAUCCGGAUCCAUACACCUCCAUCCCUUCCUGUAAGAAUCAUAGCCAACAAAUACACACUUAUUUGCUUUCAGAUCAAGUUUAGUUCUUUUCGAUUUCAGAACAUGUACAUAACAAAUAGAACUGAAGACUCGAAAAUAAUUCACAUUUGGCUUUUCACCAUAUAAAAUCUCAAAAGGAGAUUUCUGUAUACCUGGCCAAGGAGGCAGCCUAUUUGUCACAUGACAUGCACAAAGAACAGCUUCCGCCCAAAGCUCUCGAGGAAGAUUCUUGUUAUGCAGCCAUGAAAGGCAAAUCGAAGCAAGAUAACCAAGCUUUCUUUCUGCAACUCCAUUCUGCUGUGGAGUAUCUGGACAAGUCAUUUGACGACAGAUGCCGUUGUCAUCACAAUACUGAAAAAAAAAAUCAUCGGACAUGUAUUCUCAGCCAUUGUCACUUCGAAGACACUUAAUCUUCUUUUCAAACUCUUUUUCAACAGCAGCUUUGAACUCCACAAACGUGGAUAAUGCUUCACUUUUCUCUUUCAAAAAAUUCACCCAAGCGAAACCUUGAGUAAUCAUCCACCAAAACCAUGACAUAACAGUGGCCGCUACAACUCUGUGUUCUCGUUGGUCAGGUCAAGUCCGUAUGAACCAAUUCGAGCAAAGAAGAUCUCCGAUUUGAUGAGCUUUUGAAAGGAAGACGAUGAGAUUUACCAUAUUAACAGCCUUGACAAAUCACAUCUUCAUGUACACUCUUCAAGAUCGGCAUCCCAUCUAACAACCUUUUCGAAGAAAUUUGUUGCAGCAUUUGGUACCCCACAUGACCCAAUCGAGCAUGCUAAAUAGCAGCGUUAUCGGUUUGGCUUGUUUUCUUCAGAUAAGCUUCACCUGCCGACAUAACGAACAACGAGCCUCUCUUUUCACCAGAAAACACAACAUCAACAGAAAUUUCUUUCACAUUAUCAAGCACCUUCACAUCUUUAGGGCCAAACAAGACAUAUUUUCCAGAAUCAGUAAUUUGAGAAAUUGAAACUAAAUUUUUCGUCAAACCUGGAACAUGAUACACAUCAAUCAAUUUGACACUUUCGGUUCUCGUAUCGUCGGCAACAUCGAUCACCACAACACCCUCUUUUGCUACCGGAUGAGUGGAGUUAUCCGCAGUCACAAUAACUCGAUCUCCACGGUGUUCAUGCAUCUCCGAGAACAAAGUAUCAUUUCCGAUUACAUGGUGAGAACAACCAGAAUCAAUGAUCCACUCCUCCUUCUUGUUAUCAGCAUAAUUGACAAAAGCUUUUGAUGACUUUUGUUCAAUAGCUUCAACAGUCAAGCAAUGCUCCCAAUUGAGUCGAUCAUCGGUUUCUUCCGUGGACGCGACAUUGGCCUUGGAAAUCUUCACACGGUAAUUUCUCUUGAUAUGCCCAGUCUUUCCGCAUCUGAAACAUUUGAAAGACUUUUUGCUUUGCGAGUUGCCAUCUUUUUCCGAACUAGAGUCUUCAGAUCUGCCUUUAUUUCCAAACUCAUAUCUUCUUGCUUGGCUUCCCUUUUGAGAAGAGAACGGCAUCAGAUUCGAAACUUUUCGCCAUCUGCUUUGCCAAAGCUUCUUGAUUAGAGAGCAAAUUCUCUAACUCCUCCACCGAAGGCUGUGUCGACCACCCUUGAAUAGAAGUGACAAAAAACCCAUACUCCUUCAAACUGCGGAUAAUAUAACGACGCAAACGAGCUUCACUAACUUUCUCAUCCGUAUCUAUCUCUAAAAUUUCAGCACAAAUAUUUUUAACUCGUAAAAAGUAUUCUGAAAUUGACAUACCUCCUUGUUUUAACCCGGCCAAUUCGUUCUCCAACAAUUGCAACCUUGCGGUAUUCUUCUUCGUAAACAACCUUUCGAGCGUUUCCCAAACUUCUUUUGAAGAGUUAACAUCACGAACAUGAUCAAUGAACUCUUUGCUAAUAGAAGUCCUUAAAGCAAAGAGAGCUUUACCGCACUUAACCUUCCACCUCCUUUGUGACUCGGCAUUCUCGAGAAUAUCAGGAGGGAUUGUUGCAUCAGCGUCAACAACCAAUCCCCACAAGUCCUGGCCUUGAAGAAAUGCCUUCAUACACAUCCUCCAAUACUUGUAGUUAGUGCCUACAAGUUUCUCCAUACCAAUCUGAUUAUUUCCUUCAUUUGAAACCUCCAUUGCAGCAACUAGCAAAACACCCUUUCACACAAUUAACCAAUGAAUAACCUGGCUCUGAGAUACCAUAAAACAAAAGGGAAUGACAAAGGCAAUGAAAGAAAUAAUAACAAGAAAAGCUCAAAGUAUUGAAGAACGUUUUUGGUUACUGAAAACACAAAAUUACAUUAGAUAAAAUGACAUAUAAAUAGCCUAACUACAUGUAACGUUAAAGCUAAAAACAUGCAACUAAUAGCCCACUAAAACCUUAACUAACAAAACAUAAUCUGAUCAUAUCCCUAUAAAAUAGGAACCAACUUAUUUCAUAAAGAAAACAAGUAAAUUAAAAAAUCAAGUAAGAUGCACUAAUUUUUAACAAGUCGGGCUCGAGCCAAAAAUUCUGACUCAAGGCCCGACUCAUUUAGAAAGAAGGCUUUAUUUUUUGUCUAAACUUAUUUUUCGGGCCUAUAUUUUUGCUCAAACCUUCCCAUUUCUCGAAUGGAUUUUGAGUUUGAACAAGUGACCCAAACCGUGAUGAGGUCUAGCUGUAAGUACCUUUUAUAAAUUAUUAUUGUAUAUUAUUUUAAAUUGUUUUUCAAAUUAUUGUUUUAUUUUAUUUUUAGAUUGAAAUUUUGAAUUUUUAUGUAACCACUGAUCUCUACUUCUGUAAAUAAAAAUUUCUAUGAAUAAGUGAAUAAAAUCGUGAUCACAGCAUAUAAUUAAUAAUAAAAAUUACAAUAAAUAAUAAUUUCAUCUACUUUUGAAAUUAAUAUAAUUUGAAAUAAUUGUACAUUAUUAUAGUAACAUAUUAUCUUUUCAUCGGUGUUUUUUUUUGUACUUUUGUAAAAAUUUAAAUUCCAAAAUCAACUAUAAAAACAUAUAUUGUUAUUUUUAAAAUAUCAUGAAUUCUUUUAAAAAAUUAAAAUAAUAAACUUAUACUAAUUAAAAUCUAGAGAACGUAACAUCGGUUAUAGUAAAAUCCGAGCAUCAGUUGAUUAUAUUGGACGCCAUCUAUUGAUAAUCAUCUGAUCAUUCAUUACCAACGCAUGGAAGCUUGCAAUCUCAGCCACACGGAAAUUUACAGUGUUAUAUUUAUAGACAAUAUGACCAAAAAAGGCAGAUCGUAUAAAUCAGAGGUGUUGGCAUCCAAUUUAAUUUCAGUUUUAGUUAAUCUUUUUUUUGUAUUUACUUAGACCGACUGUAACCCUCAAUUUUUGCUUCAACUUUUCCAAUUUGUUUAAUAAUAAAAAUUGUAAUAAUAAACGUUUAUAAUAGCGGUAAAAUCAUCUUAAAUCAAUUAAAAAAAGAAGAAUAAGAACACAUAAAUUUUACGUACAAAUAUUUUUGAAAAAAAAAAUCACGACAGAAGAGGAGAAAUUCACUAAUGUUGAAAAAUAAAUGAUAUACAAUAGGAGUUUUGACUACGUCUAUUAAAGAGUUGAAAAGUCCUGUUCUAAUCAAAUUCAGAUAGAAAAAGAAUAAUUCUAUACGGAUUCAACUUGUGUUGUAUGGUCCGUAUCGUGAAGGCUUUGCCCCUACACAUCCUUUUGUUUUUACUGUAUUUAUUUUUUUAACAAGUGACGAGAUUCGAACAACACAAAAUCUAACAAAAAGAUAUAUAUAAUUUAGAUUCAUUCAAAUAAUUAAAUGUUAUUCAACAUUUUUAUUUUUGAAAUUUAACUUUUUACUCUCUUUUUUUUUUUAAUUUACACUCUUGUUUAAAUAUAUAUACGUCCUUCAAAUAUUAAACCAAGGUUGAAGAUUUUCCUUUCGAACAAUAAUGAAGCUUGAAGAUGGAAGACCUAACUUACAGUCGAACACAUAAUGAUAUUACAAUAUUAUAUCAUAUUCAGAAAAAGUAUGGCUAUCUUUUUUAGGGACAGCAGAAUUCCGAGUUGUUACUUCCAAGAAAAGAAAGCAGUUGGCAGUUGACGACCCAUAACCAUAUGCUACGAUUCCAGCAAUAGAUAUCCGCCAGGAACCUACAUUUAUAAAUUUGCGGAUCAAUUCGCAAUAAUGGGAUCAAAUCUAAACAUUAUUAUAUAUUUGAUUUUUAUGAUGUUCAACCUGGUAUCUUGGGAGUACAAUCAACUGCAGUACUAUACAGCUUGUAUUAACGGAGAAUUAAUUACUCAAUUAAUAGUAAAUUCAACAACUAAACAUUAAUAUAUUUGAAUUGAAUCGGAUUAGUUGGUCGGAUCGAAAUUGAUUGAAGUAUCGUUUCGAAAAAUAACACUGAAACGAUUGAAUCGGAAUUUAGUACAAACUAAUUAAACCAGUUAAAAAAUUAAUUAAACUUACGGUUAAUUGUUUCUUUAAUAUAUUUUUAUUUGUUUAAUUUUUUAAUUUAAUUAUUCAAAUUGACUAACCAAUGGCCUAACCAGUUUAAUUAUAGAUCUGAUCCUGCAAACAUAUGAUUACCCCAACAGCAAAACAACCAAUCAACGACGUAAAUUAUGCAUGCAUGCAUGUUCUCAUUUUUAUCUAUGUGGUUAGGGAUGUAACAAGUUACAUGUUGAAUUACAUAAUUACCUCAAAAUCUUAGCAUUUUGAUCAAUAUGAGAUUUGAAUGGAAACAUCAAGUGAACGAAAGGGCUGGCAAGGAUUAUAUUGCGAAUUAGCCAGCCUUGGUGCUGACCAUUUUGGUGUUUAUUUUAUGCACACCCAUAUCUUGGGUGACAACUAAACACGUGGGGGCUUUCGUCUUCAUAUUCCCCGUUUGGCGUCUUCAUGUUUUCCCCACCUUACCAAACUUCUUAAUGUUAUAAAUCUAAAGAUCAAUUCUGAAUAUUGUGGUAUGAUGUAUUAGAGACUGCUAUGAUAUUCUUACUUGAUUCUAUCAAAUCAGUGAGACUUAUAUAUAGCAAACCAAUGUUAUUAAAUGACCUACCCUUCUUCAUUCUAUAAUUAAGAAGAAAAGGUAAUUGUGUUGCUCUUUUGGGCCCAAACUUUGAAAAGCUGGUCUAUUGGGUUUAACGCUUGAGUACCUUAAAACCAAAUUCAGCCGAAAAUGGCCUAGACAAGAGUUUUUGAAUUUUUUUUUUUACUUUUUGGAAAAGUCUAAAAUAGUACUUCAAUAAAUAAUUUAUUCGGAAAAUUCGAUCUGAUUAUUUAUUUGUUGCUUUGACUUGUCACACAGUUCACGACUCGAGGUUUUACACCUUGUGAUUUUAUGUCUUCUUGGAAAUAAUUAAUCUUUCAAUUCUCAAUUAUUUGAUAAAAUUUCAAAUAAUUUAAUAUUCAUUUUUAUUCACUUCACUAAUAAAGCAUAUAGAUUUAUCUGGUAUCAAUACAUCCAGUAAUAGUAUAAAUCCAAGACUAUAGCUAUUAUUAUUAUCGUUCAAAACAAUAAAAAAAUAUAUAAAUUAUAUAUUUUCAGUAUCUACAGAUUUUAUUGCAUUCUCCAUUUGCGUAGUUAGGAGUUAGGACAAGUUCAUUGUUGGGCACACAGAUUGUUAUCUCCUCUGGAAGUUGAAGGCUUUUAUUGCAAAAGCGAAAAUCACUCCGAAGAAGAUGACGAAAAAGGCUACCAUUAAAGCAGCUAUUACCAAGAAAUCAUGGCGAUACCCGAACACUUGUUCCAGUAACUGUCUUGUAGGCAUUGAGUGCACUCCAUCUGAUAAUUUCACCGCCCUUUCAUCAUCAGCGUAUUGUGAAACCACGAGGCCGUACAAACUCCACGCUAUGGGAUUUGCCCAGUAAUACCAUCUCCACCAAAUGGGAAUUCUCUGGCAAAUUUAUUAUUACAAAUAAAAACAUGAAUGUGAUUUAAAAGGUCCUCCAAAUUGAAUAAUAUGUUUAUAUCAGUACAUUCUAAAAUCUGCAACUGGAAAACGAUGGGAUGAGUUUGAUGGAAGCCUAUAGUUAUUUAGGGAUGGAAAUGGAGCGAGCCUCAUCUACCUCCAUCCCCUUCUUAUAAAUGUUACUGAUGCUCUUUCUCUCUCAAUAAACGUAAGUGUGCAAUUAUGAUAAACACACUAACACAAUUUUUUACCUGGAAAACCUCCCUUUAAAGCAAAGUUUAAAAUUCACAAGAAUUGAAUUGAGACUCCACUAAAAGGUCAUGCUAAAAUAUCACAAUUAUUAUAAUGAGCAUAUAACUCUAAAAAAGCCAACAAGUAAUCCCAAGUAAGAAGGAAAAGAAGCUAAGAGUGGAUCAUGGAUGAACCCCCGAUUGAACAGUUGAUCGAAACUGCUUUCCUUUUGAGUGUGCCGCCUCUCACUUGCCCAACAUUCUAACGUGUAAAAUGUUCCCCCCACCUUUUUAUUAAAGGGCAAAGUGAGUUUUCCACACAUAGUGAGACUCACGGCCCAACAAUAUGUCUCCAUGAAUAUUGGUGAUGUCCAUAACCAAUUUGCGUUGUUUAUACAAUAUCUUUCAGAUCCACUUGAAUGCUAAUGAUUUUUUUAGGGAUGCAUGCUAUGUCAAUCUAAAUACAUACCUAUAUGUUGGAUCUUUCAUACCCAUAUCUGAAUAUUGUCUAAGAGGAUGCUGGAUGUAAGUACAACAAAAAUAACACAAUCGGAGCAAGACAGAAAACAAGAACACAUAGCAGAUUAGGCGAGAUGAAGAGUGAAGAAAGCAGCUGCUUUAUUACCUUGUGGGGAAUCAUAAAGCCGCUAAAAAGGUUCCAAAGCAUAUAAAACGGAGCCGCGAUGAUAGCAGCCACAUUGUGAUUUGGUGUGACAGCAGUAGUCAUCAUUCCAUAGAAGGUGAAGUAUAACAGAGUUGAGUACAUAAAGAAUAUGUACCAAAUGAAUUUCAAAGCAGUCCACUCAAAUGAGGCCAUAGAGUAGAAUAUCGAACAAUAAAUUACCGACUGUGCAAAUACAUAAGGGAACUCGAUAGCAACCUGCGAAGCAAACGGAAUGAAUCAGCUCAUUUCUGUAGAAAAAGUAAAGGGAAUAUGCAGCUUCUAUUUGUGUGGAAUGCUGAAAAUAGAAGGUAGACCUGAGCAAAAGCAAAGGCUAGGCCUGAAUACAUUCCUGCGGCUCUUUCUCUGUAUGAAACGAAUCUCUCAAUGGACACAACAGGUUGAACAGCAGUUGCAUUUGUAAUACCAAUGAAGAGGACUGCCGCAUACAUCGACCCCAUUGCAUUGAACAAAUCUUGCUGGCUCUCCCUGUAAGUGAAACACAGAGGAACAAAAUAAGCACAUAAAACAACUCAGAUUCUUUACUAUAUUGAUUUGAAAUAAUAUUUAGAAGAUAACUAGAAAACCUUUGUGAACCGAAUUUCCAGCAUAUUGUUCCAAGCAUCAACGAAAUGACAAUGGUGUAGAAGAAUUUAACUGCUGUGUAUUGGGGGUUUCGCCAAUAAGAUAGAUUUUGCUUCCAAAGACAAGUUAAAAACUGUUCAAAAAAUGACUGGGAAUACUUGGAUGGAAAGUUCAAUUCUUUUGAAUUACUACUUGGCUUGCUCAGAUUUUCAACCAACUCCCUGUUGCGUCUGAAAGAAAGCAAGAAGAUGAAGUUACAAAAAAAAAAAAAAAAGAUUUUGAAAGGUAUUGUUUAGAACUAAAUAAAACCUAAUUGUAAGCGAAUCAAAAGUAUUCCUACUGAAAUAGAUUAGAUCUUCGAUAAAUGUCUGCAAAGUCCAAACCCAAACGGUUUUCUUCAGCUGUAGAAGUAACCUCAAGCAUCCAAGCAGCAGGAUUGUAGCCAGGUCUGAUCUUAGGCACUCCUUCAACUGCCUAGAAAACCAAAAUAUAGAUCAGCAGGAAUAAGGACAAAUUCUACUCUCUUUUCUGGGCCAGUGGCCAAGUUCAUAGUUCACUAGACCAUAUGAAAUACUUAUUCUAGUAGCUAAACAUACAGAAUCUGACCUCAAAAUACUUUAUGAGUUCGCUAGAGUUGGGGCCUAGUGGACCAGCAUAUAUGAGCUCUCCUCCACGUUUCAUAAAUAAAAGCUGCCAUCAUAGAUUAAAUGAGAAGCUGAAUGAAGAUGGGAUCAAAAUGGCAUUUCUAUAUUUGUGCAUAUAUUUGUGUGUAAGAUCAUCUGUAAAACAAAUUCUCAAAGAGAGAAAAAGACCUCGUCAAAGGAUUCAAAAAUGUCUAUGCUGGGCUGAUGGAUAGUGCACACAAUUGUUCGUCCGGUAUUCACAAUAUUUCUCACAGUCCUCAUCACGAUGGCAGCAGAUCUAGCAUCCAAUCCCGUUGUAGGCUCAUCCAUGAAGACUAUAGAUGGGUUGGCGACAAGUUCAACAGCAAUAGUUAACCUUUUCCGCUGUUCAGUGGACAAGCCAUCAACACCUGGCAGACCAACCAAUGCCCCACUUAAUGGAGUGAGCUCCACAAGUUCCAUCACCUCCUCAACAAAUGCCUGAGAAUCCAUCCCUAAAUAAGUCAAUACGGUACACCAUGCUGUCAAAUAGUACUAUACAAGCAUAAAUAAAGAUAUGUUCCAAUUACCCUUUGUAUCUCCAAGUCAACAUCCGAUGGUAAUCGAAGCCAAGCAGAGAACAGAAGUGAUUCCAGAACGGUCAAACAAGGAGAAUGAAUAUCAUUCUGCUCGCAAUAACCUGAAAUUCUUGCAAAAGUCUCUUGCCUUUUCGGAUAACCAGAUAUAUUUAUGCUCCCUUCUAUGACCCCUCCAGUUUUCCGACCAGCUAAAACGUCCAUGAGUGUAGUUUUACCAGCACCACUGACACCAACCAAAGCUGUAAGUACACUAGGUCUAAAUGCUCCAGUAACAUCAACCAACAACUGCAAUCUGUCUUCAGUUAUACCUUGUUGUUUCAACUCCUGGAAAAACACAUAGUCAAAAAGUUAACUCAUCAACAUAUUUCUAUAAAAUAAUUAGCAUAGGAAAUAGGACAAUAUACUAUACCACAGGGAUCUCCACAAAGUAAUUUAUAUUGCUGAAAGACAUAGAAAGUGGUUGAAAUGGGAGAACCAUGCCUCUGUGCUUAAAAUAGUUUCCUGCCCAGCAGUUGAAUAAAAAGAUUGAAACAUUUGGCAGCAUAAAAGAAAAAAAGGCUAAAGAUCGGAAAUGUCUUUUGCUCACCAUUUACUGAGCUUGAAUAUUGCAAAUAAUGUCUCAGCUCAGUUACAUUUUCACCCUUCCUUCUAUUGUCUCUCUCUUGCAGCUCUUCCUUGGAGAAAACUGCCUGUUGCUUCCCCAGAGCUAUAAUAAAUGACAAAGGCAUAAAUUUGAUUAGAUUUACACCAGAUAUCAUAUAUGUUUUCCUUGGAAAGGAAAUUCAUGAUGGACAAAUUUCAAUAGGAAUGAGAUGGCUUACGGUUAAGGUUAGCUAGAAAGAAUGUAAAUAGAAUAUUGAGCAAAACUGUAUAUCCAAGCAAAGCACCAACACCAAUCCAAUACCAGUAGCUCUCUGGAAAAUAGCUGCGUGCUCUCAACAGUGCCUCACCCAGUGAGAAGUUAGUGUAGUUUCCAGCUCUCUGUAAAAAUGGAAAUUAAGUACGGUGAGUUUCAAGCUUCAACAUAAGAUUGAAGCCAAAUUCCAACUUAAAUCAUCACACAUUCAGAGAACAUGAUUCACAUUUCACAAAUGGAAGAACCAGGAGCCCAAGAAGGGUGAGACACAAAUAUCAAGCUACUAAGCAUAAGUCUAACUAAAUAGAUAGAUAGAUUGCUCAGAGGCAUUGUCACAAGCUUAGGCAUGCUUGCUCAUGAAGUUAAAAAGCAUAAAAAAGAAAAACUAUAAUGUUGCUAAAAGGAAAUGGAAAGUACUUCUCUAACUCGCCCAUUAAUCACAAAAUAAAAGUGCAAGCUUAGCAUGUUUAUGCUAACUAUCAACAAUCAUUCAGCAGUUAUUGCUGCUGAUUUUAUUCUUCUCCAGACAUCAUUAGUAUUGCUGCAUGAUGACAGAUUAACAGAAUAUUCCACAGCGCCAAAAUAAUUAAUGCAAUAAUAAAUAUUUAUAGAUGUUACCUUAUUCCAAGAAUGUCCAAGGAAUUCAUUGACAGAGGCUGCAUUUUGAGCAUACAUCAAAGGAGAAACCCAAUAACCCCAGAUCCACCAGCUAGGGAUAUGAUCUGUCAGAUUGAAGAAGAAUAAGUAAUCAUAUCGCAAUUAUAGAAAAUGGAGAGCAUGUUUGUCUAACCUCUUGAAAUGAUAUAUCCUCCAAGAGCCAUGACCACCAACAUAGCAAAAGAUCCAAAGGUGUUGGCAACUAUCAUAUUUCUGCCCAAGGAGCCUAUCACACGAAAAAGAGCUAUAGACAUCUGGUGCAGACAGAAAUAUAACAAGAACUGCCGAAGAAAUCUGCAAGGUUCAGAAUUAAAGUGAAGAUUGAAUCUCAAAACUGCCGCGAUACAUGCAAAAAUCAUCGAAAACAACUUUACCUGGUGAGGUUAGGAUCAUAACCAAUUACGUAGUAUGAAAUUGCCACCCAGAAACCAGACUCGUAGAGGGAAGUUGGAAUACUUAGCAGCCAAGAAGGCAGCGUAUAAGCCCAAGUUGGAUAGAAAUGCAAAUCCCUGUGCUUAUAAAGAACAGGAAGUUUGGCCACCAACAUUGAAACCUCCGUAAAUCCAUUGAAAAGAAUAAUGACCAUGGAAAAGUAAAGUGCCCCUAGAUACAAUCCUCCAUCAUCGAUUGUAUUGUGAUGCAGCACAGUCCGCAUAAAAACGCUCAUUGUGAUUAGUGCAACAAUAAAAAGCUGGACAAGGAAAGAAAAAACUAAAAAUCAUAUUACAUCUCAGUGGAACUGUGAAAUGAGUUGUUAUGACAGGAGGAUAGAAAGAGAAUAAGGUUAACCAAAUCAUUAGAAGUGUGCUAGUGUUUUGAAUCGUGAAGUUUUAACACUUACCUGAAUAAAUUUGAAAACAUAGAUAAAUGAAUUCCGUUUCAUCAGUAGCAUCUGCCAGUUAAAGUUGGUUUUAAGAAGUUCAUUCUUCUUCACUCCAUAGCGAGAAGUUGACAGUGCUGCUGGAUGGCUAUAACGCUUAUCAAAUGGAAUGCUUAGUUCCUCGUACAAAUUCUUCCCAGUUUGAUAGGAUCGGAAAGCUUCAGAAAAUUUUCCUGGAGUAAUGUAACGAUAAGGCUGGAAAGGAAGAGACCAAUACUGUUGUUGAUCCUUUUUCGACAAAACCUGUGCACAGAAAACUUGAGCAAAUAGAAUACCAUAUAGAUUGUAUGUCUAAAAAUCAAGCUCUAGCCCCAUACCUCUUGCAAGAAGUCUGCCACAUUCUUUCUUUCAGGACACUUAAAUCCCAUAAAAGCAAAGAAAUCAAGGGCCUCCUCACGAGGCCCCUGGUAUACAAUCUGGCCCUCACAUAAAAGUAUAACAUCAUCAAACAACUGGUAAGUUUCAGGAGCUGGUUGAAGCAGAGAAAUCACAGUAGUCCCAUCGAGUGCACAGGUUGAAUGUCUCAAGUAUUUAAUAAUUUGAUAAGUAGUAGAACUGUCGAGCCCAUUCGAAAUUUCAUCCAUGAACAACACCCUGGCUGGCCCAACUAGUAAUUCACCUGAAAUAACAGUUCUGGCAAAUCAGCAUGAAUGAAACCAAAUAGCUCCUUCUUUGAAUAAAACACACAUACACGUAGCUCCUUAGUACACGACCAGAGGAGAAGGUACACAACAAAUCAUAAACCUGUUGUAAGCCGCUUUUUCUGGCCACCGGAUAUCCCUUUAAGCAUUUCAUCUCCCACCAAUGUAUCGGCACAUAGAUCCAACCCUAAAAUCUUUGUCAAAUGAAUUUUAGUGCCUCAGAAGAAUCAGUGAAACUUAGGUCUUGUUGAAGUGCAGUUGGUAAGAAAAAUGUGUCACUUAAGGCCUUGAAAAGUAUAUUAAGUGCAGUGGCACAUGCAUCAAGGAGAAACCAACAUCUUGAAAAUACCUUCAUGAUGUAUUCAACCACGAGGCUUGUCUCGUUUCCCCCCAAAGCUAGUGACUAGAAACAGGAAGUUGUGUCAUUAAUAACUCUUAGCCAUAAAGAUCUACUAAAAUGAAAACAUAACUACCCAAGAAAUAGGGGAAACACAUCCAUCUCACCUACCUUCAUAAAGAUAUCAAGAUCUUCAUCAGGUUUUAUCCCAGCAUUCUUUUCUCUUCUUGCAAGUUCCACAAGCAUGUCUUUUGCAAGCAGACAUAAGUAAGCAACAUGGAAUUGCGACUUAUGGAUGUAAAGUUGAUUUCUCAAUGCUUACCAUAUUUAGAUCCAACACCUUGACACCGUCCUGCAAAUUCAAGUGUUUCCCUCACAGUCAUUUCUGCCACAUGCCAGUCCUGUUGGCUCACAUAAGCAGAUGUCCUUGGAGGAACGAAUUCCUUUAGCCCAUGUCCAUUAUAUGUAACUUCCCCUGACAUCUUCAAAGCGAUAAAAUAUAAUGAAUAACAAGAAAGAGUAUUGACAUAAACGCAAUCUUCCUAGCAUCUAAAUACCUGCAAAUGAGUUCCAAGGCGUCCAGCCAGAGCCAACAGCAACGUUGUCUUUCCAGAACUUGGAGGACCUAAUAGUAGCGUUAAUCUGCCAAAAUAUGUAGUAAUUAACAGUUCCGCACCUCAACAUUAUGAAUCCAUAUGCAACAAUAAGUAGCAACGCAUUCAAACGCACCUUGAAGGCCUUACAAUCCCACUACAAUCGUCUAAUAUAGUUAACUUACUUCUCCUUCCUUGAUACAUACGCAAUUGUCUCAAAAAUGCCUGAAAACCACAUUUUUUUAAUAACUAGAAAUUAAAAUGAGCAUGGCCGUAAAUAGCUUUAUAUCCCAAAGUCGGUCAAUGGUUUAAGAUUUUACCUCUGCCAUAUUAAAGAUAAAAUUGGGGAUUGUUGGCAAUGCUCUGCUCCCAACAUGAACAAAAGAUUCAACAGUCAGAUUCUGAAACCGAACCUCAAUCUUCGGGAAUUUCAAAUCUACUCUGUGACACCACAAAUAACCACAGCAAUAUUUAAGCAACUGUUAGCACCGAGGCGAGAAAACAAUAGAAAACAGUCUCAACUUAGAAAAGAAAUGCAAUAGCUAGCUUCUUAUUUUCCCAGAAAAUGAAAAAUAUAAUAAUAAAGGUUUAAAUUAUUUAAGUUUUACUUUUAAAAACGAUCACAAAUGUUAGUAUUUGAUGAAUUAAUAAAUUUUUUAAAAAUAUAAUCAUAAAGUUCACUUGACUGAAGCCAACAAAAAGGGCGACCGAUGUCACUUUAGAACAAAAUUUCGUCGCUAAAGUUCAAAAACAAGCUUUUGCUUGUAAUUAGUGGAAGGUAUUAGUAUGAUACAUUAAUUGUUUUUAAGUCAAAAAGAUUGAUUCAUAGAUGCUAUUAACAUUGUUUCAUAGAUUCUAAUAACUUAGCUUAGCUAAUUAAACCGUACGGUCAAACUAACGUCAGAUUUUAAAAAAAGGAUCAAAAGAUCCCAAAAUCUUGAUUUGCCAUUCUUGUCAAUAUAAAAAACAGCAGAGAGUUAUUCUCUAUGUUCUUUCUUUUAAACUUAACAGAACACUAAACCAAACACACACAGAAAAAAAAGUAAGUAAAUCCAGCAUUACGCCUCGAUUCGUUUCCUCAUACGAUCAAAGAACUGUUCAGGAUCAUCCUCGGCAGAUUUAACGAGCCGUUCGAGUAAAAGCCUUUGAUCGGUUAACUCGAGCUCGCUCACAUCCACUUCUUUGGAGUCGCCAACCAUGUUCCUAAAGAUUCCCCUUCGAACUCGAGCGUAAGUUGGCAACCUCUCCAGCGCCGCCCACCUCAGUGCCUCCUCCUCCUCAUCUUCCUCCCUGAACGAAGCCGACCUGGAGAACACAUUCUCCGCCGAGUUCCACAUUGCCUCCUUUCAAAGAUCUAAACAACAAAAGAAAAAAAAAAGAAAACCAAACCCUAGAGAGAUUAAAGAAACAAGAAAAAAGAGAGUACAAUUGUGAGAUUUAGAAAUGUGGCUGAGAGUGCUUUUGUAAGUAGAGAUUGUAGUCUUCAAAAUAGGUAGUUGAGCUUUGCAAUUGCAUUUAUGGCGGGUUUUUUUUUAUUUUUGUAAAAUUGGGGGCUCUGUUUUCGGCUAACGUAAUUGUAGAAAUGCUUACGUCGUUUAACUUUCUGUUGCAUCCGUUCGGUACGUUAUCAUUAAUAGCCGCGGGAAAAGAAUAUAAAAGUGGCGGGGGCAACCUCUCGAGUCGCGUACACUGUAAUCGCUCUUAGAUUGUGAAAUAUGUAAGGUUAAAUAUGUUAUAAGCCCCUGUAACUUUUAAAAAUUUAAAAUUUAGUCUUUAUACUUUUCAAUUUUCAAGAUUCAGGUCCAAUGGUUAAUAUUGUUGUUUUUUGUUAAAUUCAUUGGUGUGAUAUUUUAAAACUAAAAACUAAAAAUAUUUUAAUAAACCUGAAUUUAUCAAAAAAAGUAAUAAUAUUAACAGAUUUGAAUUUUAAAAUCUAAAAAAGAGAUAAAUUAAAUUCUCAAAAUAAAAGUAUAAGAAUUAAAUUUCAAUUUUUUGAAAAAUACAGGGACUUAUGAUACAUUUUAACCUAUGUAACUUGGGCUACACACGUGAUGAGGAUGCGGGGAGUGGGUUUAUGAUUAAUAGAUCUGAGAGUGGGCUGAGAAUCAAUGUCCGAUGUUUCUAAAAGUGAAGAACACGAAUCACCGGCAGCGGCAGAACAAGACAAGGGCAUGUUUUGUAAAUUGUAACGAACCCCUUAUUUUCUUUCUUUUCUAAAAUAAAAUUAUCAUGUACUUUUAUGCAAUUUGCAUGGUGUAUGGCAAGAGAGAUUUAUUGAUUUAAUAAAUUAAAGUAAUAGUAUAUUGCAGAGCCGACAAAAUAAAAAGAAAUUAUUUAACGAUAGGAAAAUUGAAAUUAAUAAAAUAUAGCAUAAGUUCUUUACAAAUUUAUAAUCUAGUCUAUAUAUUUUUUAUUUUGAUAAAUUUAAUCCAUUUACUUUUCAGAUCUUAAAUUUCAAUCUAAACUAUUAAUAUGGUUAUUUUGUUAAUAGUUUGAUUAGAAUUUUAAAAUUUAAAAAAUAAAAUAAUUAUUUUAAAAAAAUAUAUAGGAUUAAAUUUCAAAUUUUCAAUCUUGAAAAAAAAAUAUCAGCUAUUUUACGAUGGACAGUCUUUUUAAAAAUUUAAGACAUAAACACUCAUAUUUUAUUCUUUAAUGUUUUUUAUUUUGAAUAUUAAUAAAUUUAUUGACUAUAUUAAUAUCAGUUGACUUGUUGUUAAAUAACUUCACAACCAUAAAUAUUAAAGAAAUUAUAAAUGAUAGUAACUAUUUUUUAUUAAUAAUAAAAUGACAAAUUAAAUUAAAGAAGAGACCAUCAUAUUCAACCACAAAUUGGGACUUUGAAUUAGGUGUCGGGAAAACAUGCAUUUAAUUUCUGUAACAAUUUUAGUUCCACCUAAUUAAACAACUAUAUAAUAUAAUUGUUGUUCCAAUAGGGUCGGAAGCGUGUAAAUUAUUGUACUAAAAAAUCACACAAAGUUCAAUUCUCAGGAAAGAUAGGUGGAUCACAUGGAUCUCUUAAAUACCAAGUCUUUCCUUAGACAGAAUAUCCCUUCUAUAGUAAUUUAAUAGCACAAUUAAAUACUACUAUUAUACCCUCAAAUAUUGAAAGAAAAAUAGGACAAGAAAGAACACAAGAGUUUUAACGAGGUUCGAUAAAUUAUACCUACGUCCUCGGGCACUAACACCAGAUGAUAACUUUACUAUCUCCAAAGUAUUACAAACAAAUAGAAUUCCUUAAGAAUUCUCAAAUGGGAGAAGAGAGAAAACUAAGAGAGAAAGAUUGGUUGGGAUGAAUUGAAAUGAGAAAUGAGAAGGCCUAUUUAUAGUUGAGGUUCAAGGACCAAACAAUAAAUAGCCCAUUAUCUCAAGGACCAAAAAAAAAAUUAUCCCUUGCCACUUUUCCAAAGUUGGUGGUUGUCAUUAUUGAUUGUCUCCCAUUAAUGUUAAUGGCAACCAUUAUUAAUUGUCUUCCAUUAAUGUUAACAAUCUCCACCUUGAAGAUUUGAUUAGGAUAAUCACAUCUUCACACACUUCCUUCAACUCCCCAAAUUCGAUAAAGCUAUCUUUUGUAGUGCCUACAAAUGCGCUCUCGAGCGCCAUACACCUGAAGGUGCUCAAAUUCUCAGGAUGUUAAUCAAGUUCAAACAAUGAUUAAACUUGAUUGUUGUUACCACCUUGGUCAUCAUAUCUGCGGGAUUAUCUGCUGUCGGAAUCUUCUGAAGUAGAAUUUUUCCUUUUUCAAAGACUUCCCGCACAAAGUGAUAUCUUACGUCGAUAUGCUUGGUUCUUGAAUGAUAGACUUGAUUUUUCGCUAAAUGAAUAGCGCUCUGAUUGUCACAAUAUAAACUUAUGUGACUUUGAACAACUCCUAAGUCUUUCAACAAUCCAUUAAGCCAAAUAGCCUCCUUAACAGCUUCUGUAACUGCCAUAUAUUCUGCCUCUGUAGUAGACACAGCUACUGUAGACUGUAAGGUAGACUUCCAACUCACUGAGGCUUUCGUAAGAGUAAACAGAUACCCCGUAGUUGAACGACGUUUAUCUAAAUCACCAGCAAAGUCGGAAUCAACAUAUCCAACUACGAACUGACCAAGUGCUUCAUCCUGUUCAAAAAUUAAACCAACAUCUACGGUUUUUUGAAGAUACUGUAGAAUCAAUUUCACAGCUUGCCAAUGUCCUUUUCCAAGAUCAUGCAUAUACCUGCUCACAACUCCAACAGCUUGUGAAAUGUCAGGCCUCGUACACACCAUCGCAUACAUCAAACUCCCAACUGCAUUAGCAUAUGGGACUUUCGCCAUAUAUUCUCUUUCAUCUUCAGUCUUCGGAGAUAAUUGAGCACUAAGUUUCAAAUGAGAAGCAAGUGGGGUACUUACAUGUUUUGUGUUUUCAUUUACACCAAAAUAUUGUAAUACUUUUUCAGAUAUUGCUUUUGAUUUAAACAGAGCUUGCCUCUCGGUCUAUCUCUACUUAUCUCCAUGCCGAGAAUCUUCUUGGCCUCACCUAGAUCUUUUAUCUCGAACUCUUGAUUCAACUGAGCCUUCAGCUUAUCUAUCUCAUUUUGGCUCUUCGAAGCGAUUAACAUAUCAUCAACAUACAAGAGUAGAUAAAUGAAAGAUCCGUCAUGCAGCUUCUGCAAAUAUACACAAUUGUCAUAUUUGCUUCUUGUGUACUUCUGCCUUCUCAUAAAGCUAUCAAAUCGCUUGUACCACUGCCUCAGGGUUUGCUUCAAUCCAUAUAGCGAUUUGUUCAGCUUACAAAUCCAAUUUCUACCACCAGCAUCUGUGUAUCCUUCGGGCUGAGUCAUAUAGAUCUCCUCUUCUAACUCACCAUGUAAUAAAGCCGUCUUAACAUCAAGUUGAGCUAGCUCCAAAUUCAACUGUGCUACCAAGGCCAACAAAAUUCUAAUGGAGGAAUGCUUCACAACAGGGGAAAAUACAUCAUUGUAGUCAAUUCCCUCCUUCUGAGCGUAGCCUUUAGCUACCAAUCUUGCCUUGUAGCGAAUAUCCUUCUUGCUAGGAGAUCCAUAUUUCUUUGCGAAUACCCACUUGCAUCCGAUUGCCCUUUUACCUUUCGGUAAUUGCGCCAACUCCCAAGUAUUGUUCUUCCGGAGAGACUGCAUUUCUUCAUCCAUGGCGCUUUUCCAUUUAUCACUUUCUAAGCUUUGCAUUGCUUCUUGAUAAGUGAUAGGAAUAUCAUCAACAAUGGGAAGGGCGUAGGCCAUUAUAUCAGUAAAUCGAGCAGGUUUACGAAUUUCUCUCCGUGGCCUUGCAACUGCAACUGGUUUUGGUGUACUUAGUGGUUCUUGGGUCAGAACCUCUUUAACCUCUAAUUCCUCUAUUGUGGCUGGAGAAUUAGACUUAUUAACUGGGCAAAUCCCCAUCUGCUCAAACUCCACCUGUUUUGGAGUACACUCCACCUGCUGUGGAGUAUUGCUCGUCUGAAUAUCUUUAUCUGCUACCUUUUUCAAUGUGUCAGAUUCAUCAAAGGUAACAUCUCUGCUACAGAUCAUUUUCUUUGUGCUUAAGCACCAAAGACGAAAUCCCUUCACUCCAGAAGUGAUUCCCAUAAAGAGAGCUUUCUUUGCCUUCGGAUCUAACUUUGACUCCUUCACAUGGUAAUAUGUAGUGGUUCCGAACACAUGUAAGGAAUCAUAAUCUGUAGCCGAUUUUUCAGACCAUACCUCCAUAGGAGUUUUUCUUUCUAAUGCAGAUGAUGGCAAACGAUUAACAAGAUGGCCAGUGUAUGUCACAGCCUCAGCCCAAAAUUGCUUGUCCAACCCAGCAUUGGACAACAUACAUCGAACUUUCUCCAGCAAUGUUCGAUUCAUACGCUCUGCCAAUCCAUUCUGCUGUGGUGUAUCCCUAACUGUGAAGUGUCGAACAAUACCAUACUCUUGGCACACAUCGAAGAACGGAUCACUUUUAUAUUCCCCUCCAUUGUCCGUCCUAAGCCGCUUGAUUUUCUUGCCAGUCUGGUUUUCGAUCAUAGUUUUCCAUUUAAGAAAAACUCUAAGCACUUCAUCCUUAGUUCUCAUGGUAUACACCCAAACUCUUCUGGAAAAGUCAUCAACAAAAGUAACAAAGUAGUGUUUUCCUCCCAAUGAAGGUGUCUUGGAAGGCCCCCACACAUCUGAGUGAACAUAUUCUAAAAUACCUUUUGUAUUAUGGAUAGCAGUGCCGAAUUUCACUCUCUUUUGCUUUCCCAGAACACAAUGCUCGCAAAAUUUUAAUUUGCAAGCCUUUGCACCUUUCAACAAUCCUUGUUUUGCCAGAAUUUGCAAGGAUUUUUCGCUGGCAUGUCCCAACUUCAUAUGCCACAACUGUAUUGAGUCCAAUUCUUUGUUGCCGGAAGCUGCAGCGACUGCUCCAAUAACUGUACUACCUUGGUAGUAAUACAAGUUAUUUUUCCUGAUGCCCUUCAAUAUCACAAGUGUGCCAGAUGUCACUUUUAAAAUCCCAUCUCUCAUAGUAACAACUGAACCAUUGGAUUCCAAGGCUCCCAAUGAGAUGAGAUUUUUCUUCAAACUGGGCACGUACCGUACAUCAGUCAGAACUCUGGUUGAUCCAUCUUGAUUCUUUAAUUGGAUUGAACCUAUCCUAACAGUUUUACAGGCAUUGUCAUUGCCCAUAUAAACAACUCCUCCAUUUAGUUCUACUAAAUCAGAGAACCACUCCCGGUUAGGGGACAUAUGAUAGGUACAACCCGAAUCCAAUAUCCACUCAUCUGAAUGGAACGACGAUGAUGAUGCAACCAGUGAUAGUUCAGAGUCACUAGUAUCAUGCUUUGCAACACAAGCAUCUACAGCAGCUUUUCCCUUAUUCUUCAGCUUUGGACAAUUUUUCUUCCAGUGGCAUUUCUCAUGACAAAAAGCACAUUCAUCUUUCCCGAGUCUGGACUUUGACUUUGAUCUCCCCUUUUGAGUUUUCUUCCGAGUGUAUGAACGACCUCGGACUACUAAAGCUUCUGUAUCUCUGAUUGAGUUUUUAUGUUUGUCCUUCUUUCUCUGUUCAUAACUGUAUAAGGCCGCACAGACUUCGCUCAGAGAUAUAUCACUCCUGCCAUGAAGUAGAGUAGUUUCUAGGAACUCAAACUCCUCAGGAAGUGACCCCAACAGCAUCAAAGCCAAAUCUUCAUCUUUGAAUGCCUCAUCCAUAUUCAGCAAAUCAGUGACUAACUGAUUAAAUUUGGUGAUGUGAUCAUUCAUUGUGGUACUUGGGACGUAUGUGAAGCGAAACAGUCUUUUCUUCAAGUGGAGCUUAUUUUGACUGUUUUUCUUCAAAAAUUUUUCUUCAAGUGCCACCCACAACUUAUUUGCAGAAGUCUCCUUUGAAAAAGCAUACCUCUGCUCUCGAGAAAGGCAUGAUCGAAUUGUGCCACAUGCCAACCGAUUGAUCGCCUUCCAAUCUUUCUCCUGUACAUCAUCUGGUUUCUCUUCAUCAAUGGCAAUGUCUAGACCCUGCUGAAAAAGGGCAUCUAGAACCUCACUUUGCAACAUACCAAAAUGGCCCGUGCCAUCAAAGAUCUCCACGGCCAAUCUUGCAUUUGCAAUUGUCGGUCUUGUCCAUAUGGACCAUGUUGAAGCUCCUACACCGACCGUUUUCUCCAUAAUCUUUCAAUAUACCUAAGGAAAUCUUUUCUGAUGUGGAAGAUCAGUUUAAACUGCAACCACAGAGCAUACUACGAUUAACCUUCGGCUCUUGAUACCACUUGUUGUUCCAAUAGGGUCGGAAGCGUGUAAAUUAUUGUACUAAAAAAUCACACAAAGUUCAAUUCUCAGGAAAGAGAGGUGGAUCACAUGGAUCUCUUAAAUACCAAGUCUUUCCUUAGACAGAAUAUCCCUUCUAUAGUAAUUUAAUAGCACAAUUAAAUACUACUAUUAUACCCUCAAAUAUUGAAAGAAAAAUAGGAAAAGAAAGAACACAAGAGUUUUAACGAGGUUCGGUAAAUUAUACCUACGUCCUCAGGCACUAACACCAGAUGAUAACUUUACUAUCUCCAAAGUAUUACAAACAAAUAGAAUUCCUUAAGAAUUCUCAAAUGGGAGAAGAGAGAAAACUAAGAGAGAAAGAUUGGUUGGGAUGAAUUGAAAUGAGAAAUGAGAAGGCCUAUUUAUAGUUGAGGUUCAAGGACCAAACAAUAAAUAGCCCAUUAUCUCAAGGACCAAAAAAAAAAUUAUCCCUUGCCACUUUUCCAAAGUUGGUGGUUGUCAUUAUUGAUUGUCUCCCAUUAAUGUUAAUGGCAACCAUUAUUAAUUGUCUUCCAUUAAUGUUAACAAUAACCUAUAUUUGUAUGAUCAAAGCCUAAAACUUGAGUUUCUUGUUACCUAAUUUCUCCUUGAAAAUAAUGAUAUUUUUGUACUGCAUUCUUAACUUCAGCUCACUUUUUUUUUUUGAAUUCAUUAUUAUUAAGGGGGGAAAUUAAGUACUCGUACAAUUUUAUUUAAUAAAUUGUUCAAAUUUAUUUGUAUAUUUGUUCGAUAAUACUUUUUUCUAAUUUUGAACUUUUAUAGUGUUAAAUAAUUUUUUGGGGGGUAAUAAAAGAGGCUUAACAAAGCCUAUACAACAGCAGGGCUCCUAGUGACAGAAGAAUUUGUUGCAAAUUGCUUGUCAAAGGCAACAGCACCACCAGCAGAAGUCGGUGGAGCAGUGAAGAUGCAUGUUUCUCGAGGUAAUUCUGCCAAGCUUGGCCAUGAUAUCAGCAACCGAGUUUCGAUGACGAUUAAUGUGAUGAAAGCUCAAUUGCCAUUCUUUAGAACAGAAUUCCUUGAUUCCUCUGAUUUCAGAAAGACCAUUAGUUCUAGCAUAGCCACUACAAAUAAUGAGAUGCAACACUCCUCCAAUGAAAUAAUUGGAAUUCUUGUAUCCAACGUCUUUACAGCAUUAUCUAUUAGAAAUGAAUUUUCUAACAUUUGACUCCGUACCACUGAAAGAUUUAAUCGCACACUUGAAAGAUAUCCCAAAAAGUCGAGACAAUAUUUAGAUAAUUGAUUUAUACGGACUCUUCCUGGUUUAAAUUAAAUAAAUUCUAAUUUACUAAUUUAAAAGUUAAAGAAUAAAAAAUCCCUCCCCAAACCAUGCUUGCAUUUUUCAUUGCACAUGGCUUUCUCUAUGUAUCCAUCUAAAACCCUGUUAUCAUCUAACUGCAGAGGUCUGAUUGCUAUCAUGAACCGAGCCAUCUGAAUUAAUUUUGUGUUGAUUCCGACUUUGCUGGUGAUUUAGAUAAACGUCGUUCAACUACGGGGUACUUGUUUACUCUUGCGAAAGCCCCAGUGAGUUGGAAGUCUACCUUACAGUCUACAGUAGCUGUGUCUACUACAGAGGCAGAAUAUAUGGCAGUUACAGAAGCUGUUAAGGAGGCUAUUUGGCUUAAUGGAUUGUUGAAAGACUUAGGAGUUGUUCAAAGUCACAUAAGUUUAUAUUGUGACAGUCAGAGCGCUAUUCAUUUAGCGAAAAAUCAAGUCUAUCAUUCAAGAACCAAGCAUAUCGACGUAAGAUGUCACUUUGUGCGGGAAGUCUUUGAAAAAGGAAAAAUUCUACUUCAGAAGAUUCCGACAGCAGAUAAUCCCGCAGAUAUGAUGACCAAGGUGGUAACAACAAUCAAGUUUAAUCAUUGUUUGAACUUGAUUAACAUCCUGAGAAUUUGAGCACCUUCAGGUGUAUGGCGCUCGAGAGCGCAUUUGUAGCACUACAAAAGAUAGCUUUAUCGAAUUUGGGGAGUUGAAGGAAGUGUGUGAAGAUGUGAUUAUCCUAAUCAAAUCUUCAAGGUGGAGAUUGUUAACAUUAAUGGAAGACAAUUAAUGUUAACAUUUUGAUCCAGCCGACCUUGGAGGGACACCAGCAAUUGUUAUGAUUGAAUGUUAGAGUAGCAUUCCUCUUUGCAGAAUCAUGCUGAACGCUCUUAGCCAAGGAAAAACUCCUUUUAACAACCUCGAUAAUACUACUAUGAGAUCCAUUGAAAAUGACAUCAUCUUUAUUCUUCCAAAGGGGCCAAAUGACGAUUGAAAACAACGAGGGCCAAGAGACGCCCUCAACAGAUAGUCCACCAGCAUUUUUCCUCAGUCAUUCCACGACGCAAAUGCUCACCAUUGGUCAGUAAUCUGUCAGGUCCCAGUUCGCAUCUUCAACAUCCCAUUGAUCUUGGUUCAUACCUUUAUAGGUUUCCGAGACAGAGAAACGACCACUGUUUGACCAAGUCCAAGAAAGUUUGUCUACACCAGCAUCAGCAGGAGGCAACAUGCUUUCAAUGACAGACAGGAUGUUAUGGGGAGGAACUAUCUCCCAAUCCCAAUCAGCAUUGAGACCAACCAUAUUAGCGGCCGAUAUAUAGUCAUUCAAUGGUGAUCAUAAUAUUUAAAAGAAAAAUUAAUCACCAUAAGAUCAAGGGGUUUAAUUUUGGGAUUAAGUACACCUUUUUCAUCGAGAAUCAUAAUAUUGAAUUCCAUUAUGGCUACGAGAUAGGUAAAUCUGUAAUGUUCAACGCAUUGGCAAAUACUAUUUACUGAUCUUUAAUUUAGUGGACCUAUUCUACUUGCAACUACAAUUAUGUGUCGUUUUCUUUCGGUAAGAGCCUUUAAUGCCUCGGUGCUUCAAUUAUUUUCAUAAAUUUGGAUAGACAUCAGUAUAUGAAUAUAAAUUUUCAUCUCGGUUUUUUUUAAUUAAAAAUAAUUGGUUUAAUAUAUUAUUUAGUAUUUAAGGUUGAAAUUUUUUUAAUGUGUUAUUUUAAUUUGAUAAAAGUUAUAUAUUUUGGUACUUAAAGGUAACGUUACUAUUUUUUUUAAUUCGAGUUUUUAAGCUUGAUUUGAUGAAAGUUAAUUGUCAAUAUUACUAAGUUUGAAUUUUUCAUGAUUUUGUCAAUAAAGCAAAUUUAGUGCUAGUUAUGGAUUUGUUUAAUUUUGUGUUUAAUUUGUCAAAUACAAUGGGCUAGAUGUGAUUUAAUUCGAGUUUUAGGAUUGAUUUGAUGAAAUUUAAUUACUAAUAUUAUUAGCUAAUUAUGAAUUUUCAUCAAAUAAACUUUAAAACCCAAACUAAACACUAAAAAGUUAAUAAUAUGUCUAGUUUAGAUAAAAGUAAUAUAUUUUAUAUUCGGGAUCCGUGGCUAUCUCUCUCAAUAAUGUUAUUCUCAAGGUUUGAACCUACGUUUUCUCCUUAAGAGUGCAAUGUGACUUACCAUUACACCUAAGUUUCAACCACUUAUAGGUAGGUAUAUGAAUUGAUGAUUAGUGUAUUUUAUUUUUGUCACUAGAAAUUAUUUUUAUUCAUAUGUAAGGUUUUACUUCUGGAUGAUAUUAGGUAUGGCCCGAUCCAACAUGUUACUUUUGGUUGGUAUUGGGUACGGCCCAAAUAGAGAAUUUUACUGAAAUUUGAAUAUAAAAAAAUAAAAAUUUAAAAUAUAUGACUCCAAGAGUCUCAACCACCAUCACUUUUUUUCUAAAGUGGAUAUGAAAAUAAUAUCAUUGCAGGUUCAGACUUAUCCGAUGGCCAUCACCCCCAUUGCUCCAAUAUCCGGACCAUAUCAAUUACAACAUGGCCUUGCCAUGCUAUGGUAGUUUGAUAUAGGAAUCCCAAAACCAGAUAGAGUAGAUUUUUCAUAUCGGUUAACCUUUUUUGAUAAUUUUUUUAUCUAUUAUCAUUUAAUACGUGUUUAAUUAUCAUUUAUAAAUUAAUUCUUACAUUUGAUAAAUAAGUAUUACAUAUUUAAAAGGUGAUAAUUAAUAUUAAUUUUUAAAAAUUAAUAUAUUAAAUAUUAAUAGAUGAAAAAGUAAUGAAUUAUUUCUACUAAUAUGAUUAUGUUAGUUGACUCCACCUCUAUGUAAUAAUUAUAAUUUUAAAGUAAGUUUUCAAUUUGUAUUAAUUAAUCAGAUAAAUGUAAAAUAUGAUUUUUUUUGGUAGAAAAAAAUAUGAUUCUUUACUUCAUCUCGGAAGGUAUGUAUAUAUAUAUUAUAAUGUUAAGUAGCUUUUGUAAUAUUUGUUGGUUUUUGUUGAGGGAAAUUGUAUCUUUCAUUAUCAAUGGAAAAUAUUGUUUCAUUCAAGAAUUUUGUUUUUUACUCGAAGAGCAUUUUGAUUGAUGGCUAGUGUAGAUACAAUUUGUAAGUUCAUAGGAGAAGUACUUACAAUCUCGGUUGUAUCUUCAUCAACCAUCAACCAAGACACUCUUUUGAAUGUGACAAUACCUUCUGUCGGGGGUCCGAAAUCCAACUCUCCUCAACGCUUUCAUAUUUGAUUUAAAAUAUUAUUAAUAUGAUUCUGGAUGGAUUAAAUUAUUAUAAGAAAGAAAUAUCAACCAUCUGAAUAUUCACUACACCAAAACAGGUCUUUAGCGGCGGUCUUAGCGGCGUUUAAACAAAAAACGCCGCAAAAAAUAGAGUUUUAGCGGCGUCCAGAGACAAACGCCGCAAUAAAUGGUUAUUAGUGGCGCCACAAAACUUGUUUGCAAAACGGCUCCGUUUUUUGGUUACUUUAUGACUUUAGUGGCGCUUCCACAAAAACGCCGCAAAAAAUUGGAAUAUAGCGGCGUUUUCUGAGAAACGCCAGUAAAGAUAACAAAUUUGAAGAAAAAAUCUGAGCAAAACAAUACCGUUUUAUGGUUUCAUUUUAUUUCUUUAGUGGCGCAUUGUAAAAAACGCCGGAAAAGAUUGAAUUGGCAGCGUUUUCAGAGAAACACCGGUAAAGAUAUCUAAUUUGAGGAAAAAAUUUGGACAAAAUGCUACCGUUUUAUUGCUUCAUUUUAUUUCUUUAGUGGCGCAUUGUAAAAAACGCCGCAAAUAUUGGGAUAUAGUGGCGUUAUUGGAGAAACGCCGGUUAGGAUAUCUAAUUUAAGGAAAAAUUUUGAGCAAAACGGUACCGUUUUGUUGUUUCCUUUUUAUGCUUUAGUGGCGAAAUGUUAAAAAAACGCCGGAAACGGUUCGGAUUUAGCUGCGCAUAUUAAGAAACGCCAGAACUAGACUAAGUAAAACGGCUUCAUUUUAUUUCAGGAUAUUGAUUUAGUGGCACUUUUAAGUAAAUGCCGCGAACAUUUCGGCAAUACGACAUCGUCUGCUUUUCUUCUUUUGUGGAAUGUUCAUUAAAACGACGCCGCUUUUGAUUGUCUGUAUUGGUAGUAGCGGCGUUUUUGGUCAAAACGCCGUAAAAAAGGAAAUAAAAUUUUAAGUUUUAGGGAUUAAUAUUUAAGUUUUAUCGUAUACUGUUAGGGGUUUUAGGGUUUGUGGCACAAUAUUUAUUAUUUUAAGAUUACAGUUUUGUGUUCUGGGCUUAGAGUUUAGGUUUAGGGCUUGGAGAUUGAGGUUUAAGGUUUAGAGUUUACAUUUCAGCGUUAUUAUCGGGUUAGAGUUUACGGCUUAUAAGAUAAUGAAAUUUACUGUGUUAAGGAUUGAUGUUUAUGUUUUACGAUUUAGCGUUAAUGAUUUAAGGGUUACGAUGUAAGGUUUUAGCAUUUCGGAUUUAUGGUUUAUACGAGUUUAAUAUAUAUAUGUUAUAUAUGAUGAAACAGUUUAAUAUUAUAUACGACCAUUCAUUUGUUUGCUAAAAAUAGAGCAUAAAUUUAUAAUUGUAAGACAUUAUUGGAAUAGUGUGAAUAAUUAAUAAAUUUGAAUGUUAAUAGUAUUUAAAAAUCUAUUAAAAACAAAAAUACUUAUAAAAUAUUAUAAAAACUGAAUAAUUAGUGGCGUUUUAAACUAAACACUGCAAUAGAUAGGAUUUAGCGGCGCUUAGACUUAAAAUGCCACAAAGAAUAUAUCAAAACGACUUCGUUUUCCUUUCAGUAUAUUUCUUUAGUGGCGUUUUCUGAUAAAACGCCGCAAAGUUUUCUACAAUACGACAUUGUCUGCUGUUCUUCUUUGGUGGAAAUUUCGAUAAAACGACGCCGCUUUCAAGGUUGUUUCUAGUGGUAGUAGCGGCGUUUUCGGUAAAAAUGCCGCAAAAAAAGAAAUAAUAUAUUAGGGUUUAGGGAUUAAUAUUUAUAAAUAAUCGUAUACGGUUUGGGGUUUUAGGGUUCAUUACACAAUGUUUAUUAUUUUAGGAUUAAAAUUUUGACGACAUGGGUUUAGAGUUUAGGUUUAGGGCUCGGGGAUUGGGGUUUAAGGUUUAUAGUUUACAUUUCAGUGUUAAUAUCAUGUUAGGGUUUAUGGCUUAUGAUGAGAUAAUGAAAUUUACUGUUUUAGGGCUUGAUGUUUAUGGUUUACUGUUUGCGUUAAUGAUUUAAGGGUUACGAUGUAUGUUUUUUUUGCGUUUUGGAUUUAAGGUUUAUAGUGUUUAAGGUUUAGAUUUAAGGUUAGGGUUUUAGUGUUUAAUUAAUAUUUUGAUACAAAAGUCAAAAAAUUAAGGUACUUAUGUUUUUUACUUCUUAUUAUGUCAUUAUUAGGGUUAGAACUGACAAGGGUAUAAAAACAUAUAUAUAUAUGCAUGGCACGAUAUCACAUAUAUAUAUGUCGUUAUAUAUGUUGAAACACUUUAAUAUUUUAUACGAGUGUUAUCCAUAUUUGCUAAAAAGAGAGCAUAAAGUUGAAAUUGUAAGACAUUAUUGGAAUAGUGUGAAUAAUUAAUAAAUUUGAAUGUUGAUAUGUAGAGCCCAAAUAUGCCCGGGCCCAAUAAAAUUAAAACCCAAGACCCAAACAUCAAGCCCAAAAACACCAACAGCCCAGCAAGCCCAAAGCUUAACAAAAUUUCAGCCAAAUCAAAAAUCAAAAUCCUAGCCGCAUAGCAGCCACCAGCAAGACCCCAGCCGUCGCACGUCUCGGGACUGACCUCCUCCAUGCGCGCCGUUUUCCCCCACGUUCGCCUGCAAAACGGACUCAAGGAGUCCCAUAGAGAGAAAACAGUAAAGAAUAAUAGCAAAAUCGGGACAAAAGUUUGAUUUUUUUUUGGCUAUAUAAAGGCUGAUUCUUAUUGUAAAAAUGGGGAAGGAAAUUUUUGUUUUUUCAGUGUGAGAGAUAUACAAGAAAUAAAAAGAAAUACUGAGGAAAAAAUUUCUUGAAGGUGAAUUGGGUUUUUACAUUUUCUAUUCUGUUUAUUAUUAUUUUAUUUUGUUUUCUAAAGAAACAGUACAAAAGAGGAGAGGGAUAAUACCUUCGAGGAUUGGCCGUUGAACCACGUUCGCCUUGCUCAGAUCGGAGUUUGGCGGUGCGCUGGGAAUUGGCUCGCCUGAGAAUGGCGGCAGUGGGGGUUGGGGGUUAAAAAAAACCCUAGCAAAGAACUUUUUUUUUUCUCUGCUGCAAAUGAUCU
RNAcentral lists this long non-coding RNA (51387 nucleotides) under Gossypium barbadense (sea-island cotton). RNAcentral's name for it is "long non-coding RNA (GBAR_LNC015919)". Lineage: Eukaryota; Viridiplantae; Streptophyta; Magnoliopsida; Malvales; Malvaceae. The record is from RNAcentral.